CAACUCGAGGUGAAAAGUCCCAAAAUCUCCAUUUUUACACAGUGAGUUAAGCAUGGCUAUCCAAAGCUUUAAGAAACUUCUUUUUCCAUCUUUUAACCUAUUUUCAUGUUAGUUUAGUUUACAACACCUUCAUCUUUUUAUGUUUUCAUCUUAACCUAAUUUUUAUUAAGAAAAGUUCACUCCAUCCUCCGAACUUCACCAGUUAAAGUAAAAACCCUUCCCAGUGUUCGAUCCUAGAGCCACUAUGCUAUAGUAGCUUUGCUACUUUAGUGUAAGGACCUUAGGUAUAAAUUUUGUUGAUACCCUUACAUGCCAAGCUACCAAGAGUCGGGUUAUCAUUAACCUAACCAUUGGCCUGUGUAAAUUGAUUUCACAUGCACAAUGUUGUAGUAGAAGUCCAUAUUUUGAAUUUUAUUUUUGUAAAGGUAAGGAAAAUGAAGCAUUGUGUAAUUAUAAAAAUAACUUCAUUGGAAUUCACAAGGUUCACCCAAAAUGGAGCUACAUCUGUAUUCUAUCCUACAGUAGACUAUAUAGAUUGUACAAUAGUAAAUUGCAAAUACAAUUAAUAAGUCUUGUGCUUCCUUACUAAUAAUCCUUUGACAUGAACAUUGCAGCACUAAGGUCCUCUUGGGAAGACACCUUGCACCCAUGAGAGCACUAAGAGGAAGCAAGGCAGAGUCAUGGGUGCAAUGUCAUGACUUGUUGUUGCACCAAGAGAGGCUUGGUGAUGCCAUGGUGUUGCAGUAGCAAGAAUGUUGCCUUGGCAGGGACACGAUCUAGGGAUAGAUGCCAAGAAAGGCUUAGCACUCACAUGAGUUGCACAAAGAUGAAUGUAAUAGAGCAUCAGAGAGACGUCUUGGCAAGUAAAUGAAUGGAUCCAAGAGACAACAACAUGAGGAGUUUCAAAUGGAUAAGGAAUGACUCAAAGACAUUUGAAAGCUACAAGUUGGAUUCUAAUUACGAUUGCAAUUUGAGUUUGAGUAGGAGUUUAGAUUUUGAUUGUAAUUGUAGUAUGAGUUGGACUAGGAUUGCUUAUCCUUAGUCAAUAUAGGAGCGGUUCGUGUCACCCUAUGAAAAGAGUUUGAGUAGGGACUAGGAUUGCUUACUCCUAGUCAAAUAUGGAGUAGGUGGUGCCACACCUAUAAAAAAAAGGGACAACAUGAGAGAGAGAGAGAGAGAGAAAGAGAGAGUGAAUUCACUAAAGAUAUUGUGGGAGUUUUGCUUUGUUACGUCUUGUAUUAUUACUUAGAAUAGGAAUAAAAUACAAGUUGGGGCUAGAGCCCCAUAAUUAAUCUCGUGUGCCUUUGUGGUUAUUCUUUAUUUGUCAUCUCGUGUGGAUUGGAUUAGGUUGACUUAGAGGGCUUCUAAGCACCACCUUUGUGGGUUAUUAUUUAUUUUCCAUCUCUUGUGGAUUAGAUUAGGUUGACUUAGAGGGCUUCUGAGCACCACCUUUGUGGGUUAUUAUUUAUUUUCCAUCUAUUGUGGAUUAGAUUAGGUUGACUUAGAGGGCUUUUAAGCACCACAUUUGUGGGUUAUUCUUUAUUUUCCAUAUCGUGUGGGUUGGAUUAGGUUGACAAGGAGAAAAAUUAUGUGGGAAAUUUGUGUUGGGACACUUACCAUAACCAAGUAAAAUCUACCAAGUCCUUUGUAAUAUCUUCAACAAAUAUUUUAGACUAGUUCUUUCAGUUAGUGUAAAGGAGGAAGAAGUGGUAUUGAUUCUAGAAAUAGGGUGUGUGUAUUUGAACUACAAUCCUUAUGAUCCUUAGGUCUCUAAACCUUCGUGAUGGGCUCCCUGACAUUUCAUAGGUUGUGCUACACAUGCGUUUGAAAUUUAGAGUGCGUUUGACAGUGAUUCCGGGAAGUGUUUUUGGCCUUUCUUACACUUGAAAAUUUUUAUUUUUCAAGUAUUAGAAAUGCUACAAACACUUUUGAAAAUUACUGUCAAACACACUCUUAGGAGCGCACAUAUAUAGUAGAAAACUAGAAAUUGUGGUUUUUUUAGGAUUUACUGUAAUGUCAUUAGGAGGGUAGUAAGUUGAAAUUGAGUAUGAACAAAUAUUUCUUUCUUUGGGAUGUUCUUCUAGUAGGUGCUGAUGAAACUGUUCUUUCUACUGCCAAUGUCACAUAUCAGCCAGAAAUUGAAAAUUUCAGUCAAGGUGUCCUCUGUUUUAGUGGUGAGGAAAGCUAGAAAUUUUAAGGUGAAGUUUUGUUAAAAACCUUAAGUAGCUGGGAUAUCAGGCCUGUUUUGCUUGAAAAAAAAAGUUGCAAGAUAACUCAUAUGCCAAACAGGUUCUGAUAUUGUGAAUCUAUCGGCAGACAUCAGUAAUCUCAUCUUCUGAGAUGGAUGUUGGGGGUGCAUGUGGUGGUGGAGGGGCAAGGUUUCAUUUGGUUUAUUUUGUUGAUGGAUAUUGUCUAGCCACCUGCGCCAAGUUUGAGGGGUGGUGGGUUGUGAUGACCCUACAAUUACUAUUAAUUUCUUCAUCUUUUACCGAUUAAAGUGUCCGAACAGUCGAAGUUACCCUUAUGCAUGUCAACUUGAUCACUUACCUCUUCAAUGGAGUUUAUGCUGGUUCAUUUAGGAACUGAUUUUUAUUGUUAUGUAUUAUAUGCUGAUGUUUAGGUCUCUCCAUCAUCACUAUAUACAAAAAUUCUAGGUUGAUACUAUAGGUUGAGAUUUAUUUUUUAAAUAAAAAAUAAUAAAAAUAAAAAUUAUGGUGAUGUUUAGUUGUUUUAUGGAAAAUUUUAACAAGUAAAAGUUAUUUUUGGGCAAGUUUUCAAACAAAAAGAAAAGUAAAAGUUGUUUUGACAAAAACAUAUAGAAAAAAAAAUCAUAGAAAAUAAAUAAUUUCCCCAUAUUCUAACUUUUUUGAAUUUUUCUCAAUGGGCAAAGGAAUAUCAAAUCAAGUUUGAGUAGGAUUUCUUAAUUUUUAAAAUAACUUACAAUUAAAAAAUUUUGGUGUUUUCAUUUUUGGACAAUUUUUUAUUAAGCAAAUGGACUCUGAGUCAUGCAAGAGAUAUGGUUCAUUAACCGGUCGAACAAUUUUUUUAAAUUAAUUUAAAAGUCAAAUACAUAAUCAAUUUCACAAAAUUUAUAAACAAAAAUAGGUUUAGAGAAGAUCUACACAUAAUUUUACUUUUCUAAUUUUAUUUUAUUUUAUUUUUUGUUGGAAAAUAGUCUUCAAAUCAUGUAAGAUUUAAUAGGUUAAAUUUGUUAACAAUAAAUUUUAAAUUAUAAAAUAUAAUCUGGAACUCAAAAAUCAAUUCAAGUAAUGCUAAAAAAAAAUCAAAUUUGGUAUAGAAUGACUUUGUAAAUUUUUUUACAAAACAAAUGAAUUUUAAAUCAAGUGAGAUUUAAUGCAUUAGAUUUUUAUCAAAUAUAGUAAUUUUAAAAAUAAAUUUGGAACUCAACAAUAGACACAAUAAAUACCAAAAAAUAAUGAACCAAAAUUGGUUUGGAAUAACUCCACAACCUUUUUUUUUUUUUUUUGGUGCACACGAAUUUUCUUACUAGGUAUAUUGCUUUCAAAUUGAGAAAGAUUUACCAUUUAGAUUUUUUUUUAAUGAGUUUAAUGGUAUUUUAAAAUAAUUCAAAAUUUAAAAAAUUGACUAAUUAAUAUUAUAAAUUGAUAAACCAAGACUAUUUCAAAAUGCAUUGGGGGCUAAGGGGGUUGAAAAUAGGGACAAUGGGAUGGGUUUGGGACAUGACACUCAUAUCUCAUUUCCAUUCCAAUUACACAGUUAUCUCCCAUCCUUAUCCCAAACUUGUGUUGGAGCAAGUUGAUUUGUUCCCAUCUUUGUUGACGAAAUGACUAAUAACCUCAUCCCCUCCUUAUCUUAGAUGUACAUUUUGUCAAAUUUGAUCAGGUAUGAUUGAUCCAAGCCCUAACCCUAAUUGGUAAUGAGUGAAUACUACACCUAAUUGCAUUCUUCUUUCAUUGCAAAAUAAUGAGAUUAUAAUAAUCUAGCAAAUAAGAAAAAAUAGUAUGGAAGUUCAAAUUAACACCAUAACUAUCAAUAAUUUUAAGCUUAUAGAUGACUUAAAUGAUUAAAAACUAAUGCAAAAUCCUAAAAAAAAUAAAAAUCAUAUAAAGAAUUCACAAGAGAACAGAAUGAACAAAAACCAAAUAUGAACAUGGGUCAACAUUAGUUAUGGAUUUGGAUUCCUUUCAAGGCCAAUCUUUGAACCAAGACUUCAUCAAAUCAACUACUUCAAAGGCUUUUGUGUUCUUCUUGGGUUGUGCUCUCAAACAAAGACUUCGAGGUGAUGUUCUAGAUGAUUGAAUUACACAUAUUUAGGGUGGAGAGAUUGGAGAAGCUUGAAGAUGCCAACGAUGGGUACAAUUGAGUGGUCAAUAAGAACAAUGUAGCCUAUGACUAGUUUGAUGUCAUGGUACAAGAGUUUUAGGCAUUGAGGUUAAAGCAAGAGCAACAUGGAAUUGAUUUCGGAGUCUUUCAGUUAGUGUAAAGGAGGAAGAAGUGGUGUUGAUUCUAGAAAUAGGGUUUUAAGUGGUGCGUGAUUACUACUCAAAAAGUGCUAUUUGAUAGCCUUUAAUUAAUCCUUUUUAACACUUUUGAGUAGUAGUUUAGGCCUUUUAACUCAAUUGGCAUGUUAAGGAUCCUUUAAAGCAAUUUUGAUCACUUUGUGCAAGUUUUGGUGUUUUUGUUAGUAUUUUGAUCACCAAAGCAAGUCAAGAAUGAGGAGAACUAUGAGGAAUCAUGGGCAAAGCUUAGAAUUCAAUUGCCAAGAGUGAAUCCGGAUUGCAAGGAGAAAAAGCAAAGAGAAUCUGUCAUGAAGCCUAUUCUUGAUGACAGUCGUAGCAGCCACUUUUGGAGCACUUUCUGAAGUCCAAAUGAUGCAAGCUAUAUACCAUUUCAAAGAUCAGGAAGUCAACAAUCCAAUGCUUCAAACGGUGCGCGAUUCGGAGUUGAAACGAAGAAGUUGCAGCCAUUACAAGCCAGUCACUCUAAAGUGUUGCGGAAUCAGCCUUUUGUUGCGAGAAUUUCGCAGCACUUUUGUACAGUAAGGUGUUUCUCCUUCUGACGAUGCACGAACCAUGCCGCGAGAGGGAAGCUAGGAACUUCAAGAUGGAAGCCAACUUUGCAGCCUGGUGAAGAUAGCUUGGUCUUGCGAAAUAAUUUCGCAGCCCUCUUGGGUGUCUGCGAAAUUUCGCAGGCACCACUUUUUUCCUGCGAAAUGGCUCCGGAAGCCUCCCGAAGCUUGCUACCGACAUUGGGAGAUAUUUUCCAUUAGAUUUUUGUUGUCUAAAUUCCAAAAUACUCCUUGUAAACCACCAAUUACAUGAUUCCUUAGUUUUUAAGUUAGUAAAAAGACCAAAUAUCUAUGUAAUAAUUAGUUUUAUAUUAGUUUGCUAUAAAUACCUCUCGGGAGCAUGUUCUCAGAGAGGAGUUCCUUCUGUAACCAUUUUGGUAAGCAAGUAAAGUCUUUUCUUUCUACUGCCUUACCUUCUCACUUUGUAUUUUCAUUUUAUUUCUAAGUUAUGAAUUCUCUGAGGAGCUUUCCCCAGAGAAUGAGUAACUAAACCUCCAAUUCCUUGGAGCUAAGGUUGCCGGGGAAGGUUCCAAGUGCAAGAAUGCAAAGCUCUGUGGUUUUAGCUAGUAAUGAAGAGGAAGUGAAAUCCUUUAGUGAUUUCAAUGUUUUUAGUUAACUUAAAACACCUUGGAGUCACCUGGGCCAACACUUGGUAAGGCAAGUGAUUUCCAACCGUGGAAAUGCACUAGUUUACCCCUUGCGAGCCUCUGGUAGGUGACUUCAAGGUAGGAUUUUCUGGAAUUACCAACACUUGGUAAGCUUUUGGACUCCUAGGAGACAUCCAUUAGUUAUCUCUUGCGAGUUUGUGAAGGGGAAUCCAAGGUUAAAGAUCACCUUGAAUGGUAAGUGCUCGUGAGAGGCAUGAACCAUUGCAAGUUGUAUCAGUGAGAGAAUUAAAGUGAAAUCUAAUUGAAGGAGUCUCUGUACAUCACCGGUUAGAGAAUUGACUAUAAGUUGAAUCUCUAAUGCGAGGAAAUGAACCAUCUGACCGGAGCUAUGUCUUUUGCAUGAGGAACCACCCCAGUGAACCUAAAUCUCCAAGGAAUGCUUUUCUUCCUAAAUUAUUCCAAACUUCUGUUAAGUUAGUUAGUUUAAGUCUAAACCUUUACCAAUCAAACUUUGUGUUUUAUUUCUUAAGCUAACCGUGAAAUGAAACAAAACCAAUUCACUUGGAAUUGGUAUCCUUGAUUGCUUGCAAAUCAUUCCCAGUGAACGAUCCUUAGAGCCACUAUACUAUAGUAGCUUUGUAUUUGCUACCCUAGUGUAUGGUGUUAUAGGUAUAAAUUUUGUUGAUCACUUCCUCAAUCAAGGAACACCAGCUGAACACAAAUCAGCUGAGACACCAAUUGGGCAUGAGUCAAAUGGCGCCGUUGCCGGGGAAUGAGUGUCAAGAUCAUUGUGAUACCAUUUUUGAGCACUUGUGAUUUUCAUCACAAGUUGGUAAAGUUUCUUUCACUUUACUAAUUUUCAUUCUCUCUUUGUUUAUUUACAAUCUAAGUUUAUCUUUUUAAAAUUUAGUCUAGUUUAAUUUUGCUAUUGUAGCCUUGUUUCUCUUGUUGUCCUCUGUUCUUGUUGUCCUCUGUUUUCAUUUUAGUUGCAGCUGAAUACUAGUUGUGUAUGCCAAAGUGGAUACGAGACAUUGGAGGUAGGCUUAUUAAGUGUGAUACACCUCAGAGAGGAGAAUUGGAAGUAAUCUUGAAUAUCAUGGAGGCUGCACCUGAAGAUCAGCAUAGUCACCAAGGUCGUCAAGACAAUCUCAAUGAAUUCAGAUCAAUGAGGGACCGUAUGCAUCCACCUCGUAUGAGUGCACCAUCAUGUAUAGUGCCCCCUACAGAGCAACUAGUGAUCAGACCAUAUCUUGUUCCACUUCUACCAACUUUCCAUGGGAUGGAAAGUGAGAAUCCGUAUGCACACAUCAAGGAAUUUGAAGAUGUUUGUAAUACAUUCCAAGAGGGAGGAGCUUCAAUUGAUUUGAUGAGGCUUAAGUUAUUUCCUUUUAAUUUAAAGGAUAAGGCCAAAAUUUGGCUUAAUUCUUUAAGGCCAAGGAGUAUCCGCUCUUGGACUGAUUUACAAGCUGAAUUCCUCAAGAAAUUUUUUCCUACUCAUAGAACAAAUGGCUUGAAAAGGCAAAUUUCAAACUUCUCAGCUAAAGAGAAUGAGAAAUUCUAUGAGUGUUGGGAAAGAUACAUGGAAGCUAUAAAUGCUUGUCCUCACCAUGGCUUUGAUACUUGGCUACUGGUGAGUUAUUUUUAUGAUGGUAUGUCCUCCUCAAUGAAGCAACUCCUCGAGAAAAUGUGUGGAGAAGAUUUCAUGAGCAAAAAUCCAGAGGAAGCUAUGGAUUUCUUGAGCUAUGUAGCUGAUGUUUCAAGGGGAUGGGAUGAACCAACUAAAGGAGAAGUGGGAAAGAUGAAGUCUCAGUUGAAUGCUUACAAUGCAAAGGCUGGGAUGUAUACUUUAAAAGAGGAUGAUGACAUGAAAGCAAAGUUGGCAGCUAUGACAAGAAGAUUGGAGGAGCUGGAGCUGAAAAGAAUGCAUGAAGUGCAAGCUGUUGCUGAAGCACCAGUGCAAGUGAAGUUGUGUCCCAAUUGUCAAUCGUUUGAACAUUUGGUAGAGGAAUGCCCUGCAAUUUCAGCUGAAAGGGAAAUGUAUAGAGAUCAAGCAAAUGUUGUUGGACAAUUCAGGCCCAAUAACAAUGCUCCUUAUGGAAAUACCUACAAUUCAAGUUGGAGGAAUCAUCCAAAUUUUUCAUGGAAGGCCAGAGCAACUCAAUACCAACAGCCGGAUCCACCAUCUCAACAAUCUUCAAGUAUUGAACAAAUAAUAGCUAAUCUCAGCAAGGUAGUGGGAGAUUUUGUGGGAAAGCAAGAAGCCACCAAUGCUCGAGUGGAUCAAAGAAUGGACAGAGUGGAUCAAAGAAUGGACAGAAUGGAGAGUAUGUUGAACAAAAGAAUGGAUGGAAUGCAAAAUGAUAUGAAUCAAAAAUUUGAUAACAUCCAAUAUUCAAUUUCAAGGCUUACAAAUUUGAAUACACUGCAAGAAAAGGGAAGAUUUCCUUCUCAACCUAACCAAAAUCCCAAAGGUGUCCAUGAAGUGGAAAGCCAUGAGGGAGAAUCAUCACAGGUGAAAGAUGUGAAAGCUUUGAUCACUCUAAGGAGUGGUAAGAAAAUUGAGCAGCCAACACCCAAGCCACAUGUUGAGAAAGAAGAAGAGAUGAAGAAAGGGAAGGAAAUGGAAGAUAAAGGCAGUGAGAUCAGUGAAGAAAAGAAGGACUCUGAUGCAACAAUGAAAGUAAUUCCAGAGAAGGAGCUUCUGAAGGAAGAAAUGCUGAAGAAAUCAACUUUUCCACCUUUUCCUCAAGCAUUACAGGGGAAAAAGGGGGUUAGAAAUGCAGCUGAAAUCCUAGAAGUAUUGAGGCAAGUGAAAGUUAAUAUUCCACUGCUGGAUAUGAUCAAACAAGUUCCAACGUAUGCAAAAUUCCUAAAGGACUUGUGUACUAUCAAAAGAGGGUUGACUGUAAACAAGAAAGCCUUCUUGACUGAGCAAGUAAGUGCAAUCUUACAGUGUAAGUCUCCUUUGAAGUACAAAGACCCUGGAAGUCCUACCAUUUCAGUCAUGAUUGGAGGAAAGGUAGUGGAGAAAGCCUUGCUAGACUUGGGAGCAAGUGUGAAUUUGCUUCCAUAUUCUGUCUACAAGCAACUGGGACUUGGAGAGUUGAAGCCAACAGCAAUCACUUUGUCUCUGGCAGAUAGAUCAGUGAAAAUUCCAAGAGGGGUAAUUGAGGAUGUAUUGGUUCAAGUAGAUAAUUUCUACUAUCCUGUAGAUUUUGUUGUUCUUGAUACAGAUCCUACUGUAAAGGAAGCUAAUUUAGUUCCUAUCAUCCUUGGAAGGCCAUUUCUUGCAACUUCAAAUGCAAUCAUCAACUGUAGAAAUGGGCUUAUGCAACUCACUUUUGGUAACAUGACACUGGAUCUAAAUAUUUUCUAUAUGUCUAAAAAGCAAAUCACUCCAGAAGAAGAAGAGGGUCCAGAAGAGCUAUGUAUUAUUGAUACUUUGGUGGAGGAGCACUGCAAUCAACAUAUGCAAGAUAAGUUGAAUGAAAGUUUUGUGGAUAUUGAGGAAGGUUUUUCUGAAUCUCCUAAUGGGCUUGCUACUCUACAAAGUUGGAGAAAGAUAGAAGGAAUUCUACCUUUGUUCAAUGAAGAAGAGGAGGCAGCUGUUGAAAAAGAAAUUCCAAAACUCAAUCUGAAGCCUUUACCUAUGGAGCUGAAAUAUACAUAUCUUGAAGAAAAUAAUCAAUGUCCUGUCGUAAUAUCUUCAUCUCAAACCAAGUCUCAAGUGAAGGAUGCAAGCUUCAAAUGGGAUCCGGGCAAACUGAAUCAGGAAGGGCAAAAAGUUUUGAUGUAUGACACAAGACUCCAUAUCUUUCCUGGGAAGCUCAAGUCAAGGUGGAUUGGUCCAUUUGUUAUUCACCGAGUAUAUUCCAAUGGAGUGGUGGACUUAUUGAAUUCCAAUGGCAAGGACAGCUUUAGAGUCAAUGGAUAUCGUCUUAAGCCGUUCAUGGAGUCAUUCAAAUCAGAAAAGGAGGCAAUCAACCUCCUUGAACCUCAAAAAGCCUAAGUGAAAUGGGUUUGCUGGACGUGGUUUUACCACAGUCCAAAAAUUUUUGUAAAUUUUGUAAAUUUUCAAGUUGUUUCCAUGCUUUUAAUCUUAGUUUUUGAUUUUAAAUCAUGUUUUUAGGUGUGUUUUAAUCGUUUUAUAUGAUCCCAGGCGGAAGAAAUUUCAAGGGGAUUGAAAAGAAAAAAAUCGGGUCGAAAUUGGAGCCGAAACAGAGCAAAAACAGGGGAAAAACAGAGCUCUGCGAAAUUUCGCAGGGUGAAGGAAACUUCUGCGAAAUUGGCAUUUUGCUGCCAAACCAUUCCGCAGCACUGUAGAAGCCUCUGCGAGUGUAUUUCGCAAUUGCGAAAGUGGAUUUGGCACACGAGUGCCACUUCGCAGCACAGUGACAUCAAUUUCGCAGCUGCGAAACUCACUGCGAAGUUGCUGCGAAAAUGGCAAGUUGCUGCGAAAUUGGCGUUUUGUUGCGAAACGUAAUCUGACCCCUGGGCUUCCGUUUUUCCUAUUUAUACCUGUCAAAAGUGCUGCGAAAAAGGUUUCAAAAAUUAGAGCACCAUUCUCGCAGCCCUUUCAUCUUCUUCGCCAAGCCACGCCGUCCGUUUCUCCGGUCGUCUUCUCCGUUUAGCAGCGCCGGCCAAAGAUCGAUAGCCCAAAAAUGGCACGAACGCGAGGGGCAAAGUCUUCAUCCCCUUCGAACCGCAAAAGGAGUCUGCGAAAGGAGCCAAGUUCAGGCUCUGUUCCAGAACCUGCUCCAAAGCCUUCGCCGUCGAGACCACAACCUUCUCCAGUGAAGCCGGCGCCACCAAAGCCGCCGGCAAGGCGAUAUUUAACCAGGUCAGGUGGUCAGCCAUUGAAGAAGAAAGCCAGAGUUGAGAGCUCUGAACCAAUCGAUUUGACUGAGCAAUCCCCUGAGAAAUCACCAAAUCCUUCACCGGUACAAAUUCCAGUGCCAUCACCGGUUCCCUCGCCAAUUCCCUCACCAGAAGCAACUCCAAUUCCAUCGCCGGUACCAUCUCCGGCACCCCAAGAAAAAGCUCAGGAGCCUCAAGCGCCAAUUCCAGAGCCCCAAAUUGCAGCUGAAGCACCUCUGGAAGAAGUGAUCCGAAGGCCAAUGCUGCCUCAGCCCCCAAUCGAAGGAAACCUGGAUUGCCGAACUCGGGCAUUCCAUUCUGAGCUUUGCUUCGAUUUAACAGCAUUCAGAGUGAGGCCAGAGCUUGCCCAAUCCUUCCAACUGCUGAGGAGAUAUCAUAUGGAGCAUCUGCUAGCUCCAAGGGAUUUUUUCUAUCCCCGGGUAGUCACGGAUUUCUACCAAACCAUGACAACCAAAGAAGUAAGAAAUCCAACUCUGAUUCAUUUCAUAAUUGAUGGAAGGCAUGGUAUUUUGGGAGCAAGACAUAUUGCUGAAGCCCUGCAAAUUCCUUUUGAGCCAACUCAAUUCGACAAUUUUAAAGCUUGGACAAAUCCUACUGAGUUAGAGAUGGUUAGCACACUAACCAGAGGAGCUGCAAAUCGAUCGCAUUUGUUGAGGGGGGAGCUACCUCCAGUUAUGUUUUUGAUUGAUGCCUUUUUGAGGCAUAAUAUCUAUCCCCUGCAGCAUUGGACCCAAAGAAGGGGAAUUCUCCUAGAAGCCUUGUACAAAAUGUCUGAAGGAUUCUUCUUUGGGCCUCAUCAUCUGAUCAUGGCAGCCCUUCUAUACUUUGAGGAGAAGGUUCACAAGAAGAAGCUUCAAAGAGCAGAUUGCAUUCCACUCCUCUUCCCAAGGCUGCUAUGCCAAGUUUUGGAGCAUCUCGGAUACCCCUCUGAGCCUCAGCAGGAAAGAAAGAGAAUAUGCCGUGAGCCUUUUACCCUUGAUAAAUGGAAUAAUAUGACGGCCUACAAAAUUGAUCAGCCUGGGCAGCCUCAGCCAGCAGCAAGGAGAGUCUCCCCAAGACAUAUACCUGAAGGUAUAACACUUGCUACUCCUGCCAUCCCUCGAGCUCCACCAGCUGCACCUGCUCCAUCACAGCCAUCCACAUCAGCUGAGCCGAGGAUGGCCAUCCCUAUAUCCGAAUAUCGAGAGCUGUGCCGUGCAUUGGAGACUCUUACAGCUUCUCAGAGCAAUCUUGCUCAGGAGUUGGCAGCCAUUAAAGCAUGCCAGGAGCAGAUGUUAGCCUCUCAGACUCAACAAGCUGCCAUCCUAAGGCAGCUUCAAGUCCAUUUCGAUCUGCCACAAGCUGUAGAGCCCUCUAUUCCUACUCCACCAGAGCCACACUCUCAGCCUUCAGAGUCUCAUCCUCCAGAACCCGAAGCACCAGCUGAUCCACCUACUGAGGAGGCAGAUCCUUCUGCCUAGCACCAUCACCCCCCUCAUCAGACAUUAUAUAUAUAUUUGCUGUUUAUGUUUUUAUGCAUGUUUGUUUUGUUUUAGUUGAAAAGAAAUCCCAGUAUUUUGGUACUAUAUAUGGGAUUCCUUGUGUUACUUGUCUUUAGUAUUGUAAUCACAUGAACUCAAAGUAAUACAAGUUGACUAUUUCUUGUUAAAAGUUAGCAUUAAAGUUUCCUUAUUUCCUUUUCUCACAUAUUCUAUUCUUUUUGAAACAUGUGGUUUUCCCCAAUCAAUAUUCGAAUUUGAUAUCAGCAUGGAGGUACCACUUCCUCCCUUUUAUUACAGUCACUCAAAUCACAUUGAGGACAAUGCUCAGUUCGGUUGGGGGGUAUGAGGAAGGAAGUAUUCUAAACCUUUUUGGUAUUGCAAUUAUAUUGGUUAAUUAGUUGUAGAUUUUACUUUUUACUAGUGUUACUCUAUUCUCCAUGAAUUUUGAGGAAAAAUUUUCAAAUUAAACCAAGAGAAAUUGAACUGUUGUUUUUCACUUGACUUAGAGUAUGGAUUAUGCUUACUAAAGUGGUUCAAUUGUUGAAACUUCUACUGAAAUUGAAUUGAGUUCUUCCACUUUAAGCUAUCCACACACUGUGCACAUUAGUUUCCGAUUAUAAGAUGAAAAGCUAUUUCCCUCUUGACUUAGUAUAUUUUUGGGACUUGGUAUAUUUGACCUCAUUUGAUAAAAAUUGAAACACCCUGCAAAAGGCCAAUGAGCCUUUGAAAUAAAGAAAGUUGUUUGCUUGCCUUGAAACCCGAGCAAGGUCUGAGGGGUAUAUGGUGAAAAUCUUUAAAGCCUGGUGCCCUAAGCCUUAAUUGGUUGGGAGUCACCGACCUCAAUGCUCGUUACAAGGGUGAAUAGGUAGAGUUAGCAUAUGGUAGAUGCUUGGGUAUUAGAAAUUCAUUCUUAAAAGUCCGGGGAAAAAUCCGAGGAGUUAGUGGUUGAAAGAUCCUUAAAACUUGGUGCCCUAAACCUUAAUUGGUUGGGAGUCAUCGAUGGACCCCCAUUACAUGGACAAGUCAGAAAGAGUACCCCAUAAAGCUACCUUAAAAAAAAAAAAAAAAAAAAAAAAAAAAAAAAAGAUGAAAGUGUGUUCUUUUCUUAUUGAUUUUGGUCAGUUUGCUAAAGUGUUGAAAAGAGAUAGGUUGGGGGGUGAGAUUAGUAGCAUAUUAUUCUCGGAACCUAAGGAACCAAUACACAUAGAUUUUUGUGGAAGAUUGAAGUUUAGUUCUUAGAAAAUGAAAUGAUUUUAAAACUUCAGUUUGCAUAAUGCACUCCCUUGAUUGACAGUGUUUAGCAUAGGUGUUAUGACUCUUGUUGAGAUUUGGGUUUGUAUUUCUUUAAUGAUUCAUGUGAGAAAUAGAUCAUCAUGCCACUUGAGAAUUAUUUUCCUUUUAGCAUGAUGUUGUAAAUUUUAGAUUAGUUUGCUAUUUAUUUUUUAUUUUCUCUCCUAUAUUGCUAAGGGACUAGCAAUAUGUCGGUUGGGGGGAGUGAUUACUACUCAAAAAGUGCUAUUUGAUAGCCUUUAAUUAAUCCUUUUUAACACUUUUGAGUAGUAGUUUAGGCCUUUUAACUCAAUUGGCAUGUUAAGGAUCCUUUAAAGCAAUUUUGAUCACUUUGUGCAAGUUUUGGUGUUUUUGUUAGUAUUUUGAUCACCAAAGCAAGUCAAGAAUGAGGAGAACUAUGAGGAAUCAUGGGCAAAGCUUAGAAUUCAAUUGCCAAGAGUGAAUCCGGAUUGCAAGGAGAAAAAGCAAAGAGAAUCUGUCAUGAAGCCUAUUCUUGAUGACAGUCGUAGCAGCCACUUUUGGAGCACUUUCUGAAGUCCAAAUGAUGCAAGCUAUAUACCAUUUCAAAGCUCAGGAAGUCAACAAUCCAAUGCUUCAAACGGUGCGCGAUUCGGAGUUGAAACGAAGAAGUUGCAGCCAUUACAAGCCAGUCACUCUAAAGUGUUGCGGAAUCAGCCUUUUGUUGCGAGAAUUUCGCAGCACUUUUGUACAGUAAGGUGUUUCUCCUUCUGACGAUGCACGAACCAUGCCGCGAGAGGGAAGCUAGGAACUUCAAGAUGGAAGCCAACUUUGCAGCCUGGUGAAGAUAGCUUGGUCUUGCGAAAUAAUUUCGCAGCCCUCUUGGGUGUCUGCGAAAUUUCGCAGGCACCACUUUUUUCCUGCGAAAUGGCUCCGGAAGCCUCCCGAAGCUUGCUACCGACAUUGGGAGAUAUUUUCCAUUAGAUUUUUGUUGUCUAAAUUCCAAAAUACUCCUUGUAAACCACCAAUUACAUGAUUCCUUAGUUUUUAAGUUAGUAAAAAGACCAAAUAUCUAUGUAAUAAUUAGUUUUAUAUUAGUUUGCUAUAAAUACCUCUCGGGAGCAUGUUCUCAGAGAGGAGUUCCUUCUGUAACCAUUUUGGUAAGCAAGUAAAGUCUUUUCUUUCUACUGCCUUACCUUCUCACUUUGUAUUUUCAUUUUAUUUCUAAGUUAUGAAUUCUCUGAGGAGCUUUCCCCAGAGAAUGAGUAACUAAACCUCCAAUUCCUUGGAGCUAAGGUUGCCGGGGAAGGUUCCAAGUGCAAGAAUGCAAAGCUCUGUGGUUUUAGCUAGUAAUGAAGAGGAAGUGAAAUCCUUUAGUGAUUUCAAUGUUUUUAGUUAACUUAAAACACCUUGGAGUCACCUGGGCCAACACUUGGUAAGGCAAGUGAUUUCCAACCGUGGAAAUGCACUAGUUUACCCCUUGCGAGCCUCUGGUAGGUGACUUCAAGGUAGGAUUUUCUGGAAUUACCAACACUUGGUAAGCUUUUGGACUCCUAGGAGACAUCCAUUAGUUAUCUCUUGCGAGUUUGUGAAGGGGAAUCCAAGGUUAAAGAUCACCUUGAAUGGUAAGUGCUCGUGAGAGGCAUGAACCAUUGCAAGUUGUAUCAGUGAGAGAAUUAAAGUGAAAUCUAAUUGAAGGAGUCUCUGUACAUCACCGGUUAGAGAAUUGACUAUAAGUUGAAUCUCUAAUGCGAGGAAAUGAACCAUCUGACCGGAGCUAUGUCUUUUGCAUGAGGAACCACCCCAGUGAACCUAAAUCUCCAAGGAAUGCUUUUCUUCCUAAAUUAUUCCAAACUUCUGUUAAGUUAGUUAGUUUAAGUCUAAACCUUUACCAAUCAAACUUUGUGUUUUAUUCCUUAAGCUAACCGUGAAAUGAAACAAAACCAAUUCACUUGGAAUUGGUAUCCUUGAUUGCUUGCAAAUCAUUCCCAGUGAACGAUCCUUAGAGCCACUAUACUAUAGUAGCUUUGUAUUUGCUACCCUAGUGUAUGGUGUUAUAGGUAUAAAUUUUGUUGAUCACUUCCUCAAUCAAGGAACACCAGCUGAACACAAAUCAGCUGAGACACCAAUUGGGCAUGAGUCAGUGCGUUAGAGGAUCAAGAAGAAGAAAAAGAAGGAACUGUUGGAAUUAGUAUGAGUGUGAAGAGAAAAGUAUAUAAAUAAGGGGAAGUAAAAGCAAAGUUCAAAAAGCUAUAUUUUUUUAUUGUUGGUGUAUGGUUGCAUGAUUAUCCCUAUAAAUAAUAGGAGUUUUUUGGUAUUCUACUAGUAGUUGAAGCAUAAUUUCAUAAAUUAAUAUUUAGAGCGGGGUGGGGUGAGUUGUGACAAAAUUCAUACCCGUCCCAAACCUUGGUUCAGAUUUUUAAAAUAUUCUCAAACUUAUCAUAUACCCAACUUUUAUAUUUCAUACUUGUCCUAAUAGAGGCACGUUAGGCCGGGUUACUUGAGUAACCUACAUAAUUGUCAUCCCUAGUUGAAAUACACUUUUUGGCAGUGGCCACCAACUGAGCUAGAAGCUUGAUUGAUUGACCUACAAGAUUAGUUCUCAUCAUUUUAAAAAAAGUUCUGGCUUUGGUUGUGAGUGCAAUUGAAUCUAAACUGGCAUUUGCUUAAUGCAUCUACUUCAAUCCUAAACUUCUUACUUCUUAAGCCUCAAUUGUUGUUAGGAUUUUGGAAAACCCAUUUCCUUAAAUUGUAAAUUUAAGAUAAAAUAAAAUAAAAGUGAGACAUUUCUUGAUUGAAUAUUGUUAAAGGUCCCUUGGCAUUAAGACUUGGUUGAAGCCUUGGAAGAUUAGUGGAACUCUCAACAUGUGUUUGAAUCUUGAGGAGAGUGGAUGUAAGCCAAAAUUUUGUCAAACCAUUAUACAAAUUGAGUUUGAAUCCUCAUUUCUUGAUUUCUUAUUUAUUUGCUUUUUCUUAUUAUUACUUGAAUUGUCAUUUGCAUUCAUUAAUGUUAAAAUUGGUUAUAAUUAACCAACACUAAUUCUCUUUCCCCUUCCCUUUCUUGGGUGUAAACCUAGGUUGGAUUAACUAGAUAAAUCUAUUAAGAUGGUAAAAGAAUAAUUAUUCUUAACAUACAUAAGAUCAUCUUCAAUCAAAUGACUCAUUGGCUAAUAUGUUGAAUUUGCUUAUUACUUGCAACUCAAAAUUGUGUUCUAGUUGUGUCAAGUCCCCAGUGUAUGGACAUUAAAUUUGUAGUACGUGAUGAGUAAUUAGAUGGUCCAACUCCAAGAAAGUGAUUGAAAAGUAGUUCAAGAAAGGUGCAAAAGGGAAUUGUUUUGGUAUUUUCGUUUUUAUUCUUGAAGGUGGCAGAGCUAAAAUUUGAGAAAUCAAGCAAAACAUACUGAAAUUACAUUGAAAGAAAGAAGAUGGGAGUUAAUGUCUUGCAGUACAUGAUAAGGACUUCAUGCAUGUAGUGUGACCCAUGUCUUGGACUGAUGCCAACUCACGGUUACACUUAUACCCUUGGUUCUCUCUUUACUACCUUGGCUAACCUAGAUCAGGCUAUGAGAUAGGCUCCUCACCACACCAUUACUUGCCCAUUAAUUAGAGACAUUUUCAAGCAAUGAGGUAACAUGGUGACACCAAGAGGGUCUAUUCCUCGCCCGGAACAAGUCUAGACUUGGUCUCAAAAAAAUGGAGAAAAAUGAGGUGUCGUUAUGUAGAAAUACAACAACCAUGCCUUCCUCAUUACUUAGAUUCAGAAUGUGAAGGUGAAAUUGAGAAACAGAAACUCUUGAAACCAAAAUGAAAAUUGAUACUUUUACGAAGAAUUACAACAACAUUAGAGGAAGACUACAUUCUUCCUCUUUAUUCCUACAUUUCUACACUACUUCUACUCCACUCCAUAUUUCUACAUACAUCUUUAAUCAGUCUUCCCUCCUUUAUAUAGAGCCAUCUUCACACAAAUUUCGCAAGGUAGAAAAGAGGAAUGAAACUUGGAGCAAGGUUCGACUACUGGUUGUAGCUUGUCAAGGCUGGAAGUGAACUUUUCUUGGCUUUCUGGGCAUGGGUAGUAACUUGUGGGUUCCUGUUUGGCAUAAAAAUGGCUAGAACAUGUGGCACUAUCUUGUUGGAUGAUGUGUCAAGCAUGUGGCAGCCAUCUAGUGGCGAUUAUGUCAAUUUUGGGAUGGAGAGUUGGCAUCCAAUUGCAAAGAAAUAUGACGUCUACCAACAUGCAAUGUAAACCUAUGUAGAUCAUAUGAAGAUAGAGAGGAAAAAUAUAGAAAUGGAUAUAUACCUAGAACUAGCUUUUUAUUAAAUGAAACGGAGAGACAACAAUGAAGGAAAAUAAAAUUUUUUGGCUUAUAUCAAAGAGUUCACAUUGUGUUACCCUAGGUUUUCUUAAAACUUACUUUUAUGAUAACAAAAAAGAAAAAACCAUUAUUGUUUAAUCCUUUGUUUUAAACGCAUGUAAGGUGUAAUUAAGUUAGUUCAAUGCAUUAAUUUAAGAAACUUGACCUAUCAAAAGUACAAAAUUAGAUGAAAUCCAUUUCAAUGGUUAAAAUGAUCAAAAUCAAACUUUUUCUAAGUAUUUUUUAAAAGCAUCAAUAGUGAAAGACAAUUUUAUAUUUAGUCGGAGUUUGGACAAAACUGAAAAACACACAAAAUCCAAGCGACCAUCUCUAGCUUGGAUGGUCGCUUGAUCCCACCUAGAGAUGUGCAUGAGUAAAAGGAUUUGAAAAUGGAAAUUGACUAUGUAGUCGAUCAAUUAACUUUGCAACAUCAUAUGCAAUCCUAAUUGCUAGUCAUCUAAUCAAUUAGGUAGUCAAUCAACAGGCCAAAAAUAUGUUUAUAAUGACUAUUUUGUACAAAAACCACCUGUAUAGUUAAAUAUAAUGCAUUUCAUUUAUAAAUCUUCUAAUUCUUGAAUAACGAUCCUAUCAUCCUUUGAAAGUUUUUAUUACACUUUUUUUACUUUUGUUCUAAAACUUACACAUCACCCUUAAUUGUACCAUGAGAACCUAGCUAUUUUUUAUUUUUUUUUUUGUAAUUCAUCAAAGUUAGCUUUUGUAUUCAUUGUUGUAUUAUUUUUAGUAUAACUUAGAAAGCUAGUGUUUUCAAGUGAGUAAAAUUAACUUGUAAAUAUUGUAAAGAUUCAUCGACAUGUAUCUUAAACUAAGUGUACAAGUUAAAACAUUUGCUAGUAGAUUUUCUCAAAAUUUAGAAUAGAGCUUGAGACUAUUGAAAUAGGUGGGGUUGCACCAAACCACAUCACAUCGUUGUUUGCACCUUUUUUCACUCUCUUUUACUUAGUUGCUCUAUAUUUGUUGUCUAGUAAUAUCCUAUAGGCUUGAUGGGUUAGGGAGCAUCCCUUUGUGAAAAAAUUUUAUUCAAUCCUUAGUUGUAUCACGCAUAUAUAAAAUGCCUCAUUGUUUUAAUGGUAUUCAGUCGUGGCAUCACAGAUAUGGGCAUCUAAAUUUUAAAAGUUUGAAACUUUUAUCUAAAGAAAAUAUGGUGCUUUGCCUUUUUGUAAAGCAUGUUGAUGAAAUCCAUGAGAAUUGUGUACUUGGGAAGCAACACCGAGAUGACUUUUUUUUUUUUUUUAUAAUAUUGUUUGUCCAAAUUCCCUACAAAUUAGGCCACCAGAUGUUCAUAAUUCUCCCUUCUUGAAUUUGAAAACUCGGACAAUUGGACAAUGCGACACCUAAGUCCGGUUUCUAAAUGCUAAAGUGAAAGGGUAGGUAUGGACCAUUGAAAUGUGAUCACAACUUUUCUCUGUAGCCAUGUUGUCUCUUUUUUCUUUUGCAUGAUUUUCUUACCUUAACAGAAUCAUAGACUUGUUUAGUCUCUAAAUGGGAUUAAUUUCAUCCAGCUUUAAGCUACUAUAUUAUAUCUAGGUGGAGGACUUUUAAGAGUGCAACCGACAUAGAGCACAUGGAAGUGGGUAUAUGGGACAUGAAAUUUCUUCUUAUAAAGAUUGCAUGAUUUUUAUAUUAGAGUUGUUGAGGCGCUAUGUAUUUAGCUUGUUUUGCAGUUAAAUUAAUUGGAUAAGUAGACAUUGGCGUUUCUAAAUCUACUGUGAAGUGCUUCAUGUACGUGUGAAGUAUUAGAAAUUUCUUUCUUGGCAACUUGUUUUUCUUUGCGGUCUACUGAUAGGUUUGACUAAAAUUAUAUUCCCUGUCAUGCUAAUUAAUUUUCACGUGCAUGCUCAAAAGAAAAGUAUGACCUUAGUGCACCAAAAUCACUUUGAUUAAUUUGUGAUAGGUUUUUGUGCAUCAUGACAUUAGCCUUAUUCAUUUAGAUAAUGUUUAGUUUUUAGAAAGUAUUAAGAAAAGGAAAAUAAAUAUUAAGAAAAAUAUUCUUAUAUUUGAUUGUAUUAUGAAAAAUAUCAUAAAAAAAUCAAAUAUAAUUUAAAUUAAUUAAUAAUUUAUACAUUUUCAAAUUAUUUAAUCUUUAUAUUGAAGAUAUAAUAUAAAUGAAAUGAGUUUUAAGUAUUAUAUAAAAGUGAUUUAUUGAUCUUACAUAUAUAUAUUUCUUUUUUUUUUCCUUCUAUUUUUUCUCUUUAUUUUAUUUUCCUUAUGUUUUCCUCAACAUUUUCCGGAACCAAACAUAGCCUUAGGAAAUCCACAAUUACCUUCAACUGAGUAGAUUCUGUUGUUUUAGCAAUGUUAGGCUGCUAACUUGUGUUGGUACGAACCUAUUAAGCCUAAAGAUGUAAUUAGUUAGGAUAUUCUUUUCCCUCUAGUCUUGUAGCUCCACGUGUACAGUUGGUUAGGACCUCAUUGUAUAUAAUGCUUGCCCUGUUAUUGUAGAAGACAACAAAGAUAAAUAAUAUUAACAUUUUUCCUCUCAUCUCUCUCUGUUUCCCUCUGUUUUCAUCUCCUCUCUCAUCUUGGUAUCAGAGCCUCCAUGGCUUCUUUCAAAGAAACCUCCGAAUCACCUUCUGCUAGCAUUGUUAAUGUGCAAAACCCAUUAUCUCAAUCAAACAACCUUCCUUCACCAGUAGCCACACCCUCUUUUUCUUUCUCGUCUAUGAAUCAACCUCUCACAGUGAAGCUGGAUAAUGGGAACUACCUCAUAUGGAAGAAUUAGCUUCUAAAUGUCAUCAUUGCUAACGGACUCGAUGAUUUCAUUGACGGAUCUCGACCCUGCCCUCCUCGAUUUCUCGAUCUGCAACAACAAACCCUCAAUCCAGAGUACUCAGCUUGGCAGAGAUACAAUCGACUUCUGAUGAGUUGGCUGUACGCAUCCUUGUCCAAAGAUAUAAUGGCUCAGAUUGUUGGGUAUUCAACAGCUAUGGAGAUUUGGAAUGCCCUUAAUCAGAUUUACUCUGCCUCUUCUAUGGCGCGGUUUACUGAGCUUCGCACCAAGCUUCAAACGCUCAAGAAAGAUGGACUCUCAGUUGGUGAAUAUAUUCAAAGGCUCAAAUCCAUUUGCAAUAGUCUUGCAGCAAUAGGAGAACCAGUUUCUGAGAAAGACCAUCUUAUCUAUUUGUUCAAUGGAUUAGAUUGUGAGUAUUAUUCUUUUGUUACCUCCAUUCAAAAUCGAUCUGACCAACCAACUAUUGACAAAAUCCAUAGCCUAUUGCUUAGCUAUGACUUCCGGCUUGAACAACAAAACUCUGUUUCUCUCCAUUCUGCCCAAGUCCAUAUGGCUCAUCUGAACAAGAAACCUUAUAAAUCAACUCCUCAACCUACAUUCAAUCAUAUUCACAUUCAACCUAGAUACUCUUCUCCACCUUUUAAGCCAACCACUAGUCAAUAUCAACCCAACAUUUUGGGCAAACCACAACCACAACCAUGACAGCCUCAACCUCAAUGGAAACCACAUUUUUCAAUCUAAAAUCAAAAGCCUCAGCGCCAAAUUUGUGGUAAAUUUGGACACACUGCUCUUAUUUGCUUCCAUCACACAAAUUUGAACUAUUCACCCCAACCUUCUCCUAAAUCUUUCAAUACUGUUCUCACCACAAAUUCCCAGCUCCCUAAUCCUCCAAAAUUUUCUUACCCUACAAUGGCUCAUCCUGCUGCUACGCAUAACACGGUUCCCGAUACAAAUUGGUACAUGGACUCAGGUGCUACACAUCACUUUACUCUGGACAUCAACGUGCUUGACACUGUGACACCAUUUAGUGGUUCAGAACAGGUGACAGUUGGGAAUGGUAAGCAACUCUGUAUCUCACAUCUUGGUACUGCAAAACUACCAUCUUCGUAUUCUCCUCCUGUUCUACAUCAGGUAUAUCACACUCCAAAAAUUUCAAAUAAUCUUAUUAGUGUUAAAAAAUUGUGUUCUGAUAAUAAAGUUUUUGUUGAAUUUUAUGCCACUCAUUUUCUUGUCAAGGAUCAGGUUUCGAAGAGAGUUCUCCUUUAGGGUCAACUUGAUAAUGGCUUAUACAAAGUUCAGUCGUCAUGCUCUCCUUCUGCUGUUUCCUUUCCUCCUCAAGUUUUCAUAGCCAACAUCAAGUAUCCAAAUCUGUGGCACAAGAGACUAGGCCACCCAGCUUUAUCUGUUGUUAAUCAAAUCUUGGAUUCUUGUAACAUUGCUCGAACACAGAAAAUUUGUUUUAAUUUUUUAAAUUCUUGUCAAUUAGCAAAGAGCCACAGGCUUCCUUUUUCUCUGUCUCCAUCCAUUGCAGAAAAACCUUUUGAGUUAAUUCAUACAGACCUAUGGGGUCUUUCGCUCGUUCGCUCUAUUUCUGGUGCUCUUUAUUUUUUACUUUUCAUUGAUGAUCAUACUCGUUUUACUUGGUUUUAUUUGCUCAAAACAAAAGAUGAAGCAUAUCCUACUUUUCUCAAGUUUCAAGCUCUCAUUGAAAAUCAAUUUAAUACCAAGAUUAAGGCUGUCCAAUCUGAUUGGGGAGGUGAGUUUCGAUCUCUCUCCAUACCGUUUUCAAAUAUGGGCAUUGUCUAUUGUUUAUCGUGUCCAUACACCUCACAACAGAAUGGGCGAGUUGAGCGAAAAAAUCGCCAUGCGAUUGUCCUUUCUUGCUUGCUCUAUGCCCUUAUCUUAUUGGCCUUAUGCCUUUCAAACUGCCACUUACCUUAUUAAUCGUCUCUCUACCCCUGUGCUGCAUCAUCAAUCCUCUUACUUCGCACUCUAUCACAAACUCCCAACUUAUACUCAUCUUAAGGUCUUUGGUUCCUCUUGUUUUCCGUAUUUGCACCCUUAUAAUACCCAUAAACUCCAAUACAGGUCACUAGAGUGUGCUUUUCUUGGUUACAGUUCACACCACAAAGGUUAUCUAUGUCUUGACAUUCAUUCUAGCAGGGUGUAUAUUUCUCGCCAUGUGAUUUUUAAUGAAGAUUCUUUUCCAUUCAAGAAUUUGAAAUCUUCUCUCUCUCAGUCUAUUUCUUCUUCCUCUUCUUUAUAAGUUCCUCUGUUCAUUCUCUUGCCUCCCCUUUCCCCAUCUCCUCUUAUUUCUUCAUCUAUACCUCAUUCUUUUCCCUCUUCUUCUUCUACCUCUAGUACUUGUUCCCCUCUCGUUGCUCCUACCUCUCUUCCUUCCUCUUCACACUCUGUGUCUCCAUCUAUUCCACCUCCUUCUCCACCUUCUCCGAGUGUGGACCUGCUUGCACCUUGUGUGAAUACAAAUUUACAUACUUCUUCUCGCACUCACAAUAUUCAUCCUAUGGUGACUAGAUCUAAGGUUUGUAUCUAUAAACCUAAGUUGUUGUUGAGUGUCUCCAUAGGUUCUCUCACUAAGCCUACUUCCUUUCUUCAAGCUAUUAAAGAUCCUUCAUGGAAGCAAUCCAUGGAAUUCGAGUUUGCUACCCUUCAACACAACAAGACCUGGCAUUUGGUUCCUUCACCUUCCUCAGGCGAAGUAAUCGGUUGUAAAUGGGUCUAUAAGCUAAAGCUUCAGCCUGAUGGCUAAAUUGAGAGAUACAGCCUGCUUAGUAGCUAAGGGUAUCAUCAAAUUGAAGUAUGGACUACUUCGAAACAUUCAGCCUGAUNNNNNNNNNNNNNNNNNNNNNNNNNNNNNNNNNNNNNNNNNNNNNNNNNNNNNNNNNNNNNNNNNNNNNNNNNNNNNNNNNNNNNNNNNNNNNNNNNNNNAGCUUCAGCCUGAUGGCUAAAUUGAGAGAUACAAGGCCUGCUUAGUAGCUAAGGGUUAUCAUCAAAUUGAAGGUAUUGACUACUUCGAAACAUUCAGCCUGAUUGUCAAGCUUUCUACUAUCUGUAUUGUGCUCAGUCUUACUUUUUCCCAGAAUUGGUGUAUUAGACAGCUGGAUGUUCAUAAUGCCUUCUUACAUGGUGACUUAGCUAAAGACGUUUUCAUGGAACAACUGCCUGGAUUUGUUGAUCCUCUCUAUCCUACUCAUGUCUGCAAGUUGGAUAAGUCUCUCUACUGUCUUAAAUAGUCACCUCGGGCUUGGUAUACUAAGCUGAGUACUUCUCGCUACACUUGGGAUUUGUUACUUCUAAGAAUGACUCUUCCUUAUUUAUUUGUCAUUCGUCUCAUGGGUUACUUCUUGUUCUUGUCUAUGUGGAUGAUAUAAUCGUCAUUGGGAGCCACUCUCCUCAGGUUACUCACCUUAUCCAACAGUUGCAUCAUUAGCUUUCUUUAAAGGAUCUUGGUCCUUUACAUUAUUUUCUGGGCUUGGAGGUUCAUCACACCCCUACUGGUAUUCACCUCAGCCAAGCAAAGUAUAUCACUGAUCUCCUUACCCGGGCGGCUAUGUUGGAUGCCAAGCCAUGUCCCACUCCUAUGUCCUCCAACACAUAUCUCUCUUUUCAUGAUGGAGUGGCUCUUGAAAAUGGUUCAGAUUAUCGAAGUUUUGUUGGUGCCCUUUAGUAUUGUACCAUGACACGCCCAGAUAUAGCUUUUGCAAUAAAUAAAGUGUGUCAAUUCAUGCACCAUCCCUCUAAUGUUCACUGGCAGGCUAUAAAACGUAUUCUCCGGUACUUAAAGGGCACAUCUCAUUUUGGUCUCUUCCUACAGCCUUCCUAUGACUUCAACAUCACUUGCUAUACAAAUGCCGACUGGGCUUCCUGUCCUGAUGACAAGUGUAGCACCAGUGGCUACUGCCUCUUUCUUGCCUCUAAUCUGGUUUCUUGGUCAUCUUCCAAACAAAAAGUGGUCUCCCGCUCCAGCGCCGAAUCAGAGUACCGAGGGGUAGCAAAUGGGGCUGCUGAAAUUGCUUGGACUGAAUCUCUUCUUUGUGAACUUUCCAUUACUCCCCCUCCCCUCAUUCUCUGUGACAAUAUCAGUGCCACGUACUUAGCUGCCAAUCCUAUUUUGCAUGCCCGCACCAAACAUGUGGAAAUCGACUAUCACUUUGUCACGGAACGUGUUCUUCAAUGCUCUCUUUUUGUCCAGUUUACACCUUCUGAUGAUCAACUUGCUGAUUGCAUGACCAAGCCUCUCUCCACCCAACGUUUCAUCACUCUACGCUCCAAGCUCACUGUUCUCACUAGACCAAUGAGCUUGAGGGGGGAUGUUAAGCCUAAAGAUGUAAUUAGUUAGGAUAUUCUUUUCCCUCUAGUCUUGUAGCUCCACGUGUACAGUUGGUUAGGACCUCAUUGUAUAUAAUGCCUGCCCUGUUAUUGUAGAAGACAACAGAGAUAAAUAAUAUUAACAUUUUUCCUCUCAUCUCUCUCUCUGUUUCCCUCUGUUUUCAUCUCCUCUCUCAUCUGAACCAAAUGAUCCAUGUUAACCUUGGCUUGGUUUGAUUUGGCUCUAUCUUAGAGAGCUCAAGGAUCACGUCAACUCUGGUUUCUACUAUUCAGGUCCAUUCCCAUAUGAACUGGUUCAAAUUUGAGAAAAUGGUAACAGACCUUUAGUGAUGUUGGUUUGGAGCCAGUUGCCAAACCCGCCCUGAGCUUUACCACUAAUGUCAAGGGAGAAAGCCAUUUGAACAAAAACAAUAGCUUCAAGGGACUGAAUCGUGGAUGAAAUCUGAUCCACAUUUCUUCUCAUUUUGGAAACAAAUGAGAACUUAACUAAGAAGAUUCUACGGCCUCAUAGUGCUUUUCCUGAUCUAAGGUUGGUUCGUUUCCCAAACUGUGAGAUGCACGUGCCAGACUUCAGAACUCUCACGCUCAGGAGUGUAUCCACGUGGUGGACAUAAGAUGGUGGCUUAAGAUCUGGUGUCGGUGGCUUUACUUUACUAGGAGAGUAGUGUGUCUUCAUCUCAUUCACUGCCGGAGGGUGGCGUAAGCAGUGACGCUAAGGUGGGGCACAGUCAAUAUCAUUUGCAUUUGACCAUUAUAGUUUUCUCCCGGCUUUAAAGUAACCUUAUCGUGAUAAAGGAUUACUAGCACUAGUUCAGAUGAUAGUCAUGUUAAAUUCGGACCAUGUUUGUGUCACAUUAUCAGCAACCAUGUGUUUAUGGUUCAUGCUUUCUGCAACUAAAAUUGAUAUAUAACCAGGUGAACUUCAAUCUAAAUUCUGAAAGUACUCAUGUGAUAGAUGGUGCCCGUCUGCAGAGUCCAUCAAUUGAAAAAUGGAGUGAGUGUAUCUAUAAGAGGGAAGGCUUGGAAAAUGUUCAGUUUUCUGGGAAUUCAACAAGGAUCUAAAAUAGAUUGUUUUCUUUGCUGAUUUCAAUGGUUGAAAUUUGAGAAGAUUGUGUCCACAUAACACAACUAUUACUGGUCCUUCUGUUGCAAUUUAUCCUCUAAAGCUCUAGCAUGUCUUCCAAUUCCCACUUCCCUGUUACUCCAGGAAAGCUAUUUCUGUCAUUGUGAAGAAGAAAAGAGAAUGUACAUAUCGAUGCUUUUAAGUGACUGGAGCAUUUAUAUCAGGUGGUCUGCAGCCAUAUAUGCCACUUUGUGAAGAUUGGAACAGUCAAUCACUAGGCUAUAUAUUAGUGUGGCCCAGCCACUUUAAUCAAGGACAAGUCUUCAUACUUAAAGUCAAAUUCUGCCUUUAGUCUCAUUAUAAAUUUCUGUUUAAAUAUUAAGCAAACAUUUGUUUAAUGCGAUUAAGACAGUACUAACUCAAUACCUGUUCUAUUUUUGGAUGCAAAUGCUUGAUGGUUUCAUCAUUGGAUGGGAUAAAGGUGCAUUCAUGAUUAGGAAUACUAGUAGUUAUAUUUUAAUUCUCUUUUUUCUCAAUGAGACUUGUUGGCACAAUUUUGCUGUUGAGAAACCUACCUCUCCAUGGAAAAUAAGUUGUGAUUGAUAGUACUGGAUAUAUUCAAGAAAUCUAAAUAUAGAUAGCACAAAAUAUUAUCGACAUAAAUAGCAUUAACAGCGUACGUAUGUCUCAGUGCUCAUCAGCUAUAAGCAUGGGGCAAACACUUACUAUGAGCAACUUACGUCAAAAUUCCAGAAUAGGACAUAGAAGUGACAGAUAUAGAACAUUGCAUAUGAGUCACAAGAAAGGAAAUUACGGGUGCAUAGCAGCUCUUAUUUUACAUACUACUACUCAUACUGAUCAAAGUCACUCAGUUGGGAUGGGUGGGAGUAGGAGGUUUGUGGGGUGGCUUGUGCGGAGGAGUUGGCAGCUUCUUUCCAGGACCUGGUUGCUUCUCUGCUGGAGUUGAAGGAGGCUUAAUCUUCCGAGGUGGCUUGUAUGAGUCUUCAGCAUUCUCAGCUGGAGGGUGACCAGGGUUGUGACCAUAAUGUGGUGGCUUCUCUCCCUUAGGUGGUUUGCCAACUGGGGUUGGUGGCUUGUAUGAGUCUUCAGCAUUCUCAGCAGGAGGGUGACCAGGGUUGUGACCAUAAUGUGGUGGCUUCUCUCCCUUAGGUGGUUUGCCAACUGGGGUUGGUGGCUUGUGUUCUGGGAGUGGCUUCUCCCCCUUGGGAGGUUUUUCCAAUGGGGUUGGUUUGUGUUCAGGAGGUGGCUUCUCCACUGGAGGCUUGUGUUCAGGAGGUGGCUUCUCCACCGGAGGCUUGUGUUCAGGUGGUGGCUUCUCCACCGGAGGCUUAUGCUCUGGUGGUGGCUUCUCGAAUGGGGGAUGCUUAGGAUAAUCAGCAAGUGAGGGGGCGGUGAGAACCACCAGGCCAAGCAACACCACUAGCAAAUAUGUAGGAGACAUCUUUGGGUUUGGGCUCAGAUGGUGCAAAACUAGGAGAAUUGGCUAGCCUUUUAUAGCGGAUCGUACCCAAUAAUGAAAUGACACGUGUCAUUAUGACCCAUGUGUAAUGGGGUCGAUUUGGGUCCUACAGUGUUGAAAACUUCGACAUCCACUUUUGGCCUUUUGCUUUCUCUACAGCCGCCUUGCUUUUUCCCUCUUUCCUUUUGUUUUCCUCCUGCCCCAUUCUAUCAACUAAACACAAUUAUGUAGUUGUUUAAUUCUUAAAUGAGAUAUUAUCCGUCAAUCGUAUUAUAUUUUAUCAAGAGAGAACGGAGUGCAAUGUGGCUGUAAUUUUAUCGUUUAGUUUUAUCUCUUGGACCACUGCAUUUUUGUUAAGAGGUGCAAUAAUACACGUCUUUAUCUGCCAUUCAAUAUUUACAGUAAAGAGAGGGCACAAAACUCUUCACUUCGCACCAUAAUUAUUUUGUUUUCUGGACACCCCGGGGCCCUUUGGUUGGUUUGGGGGUCAGAAAGUGAACAUCAUAGGGGGUUUUUCCCUUAUGUGCAUUUGUAUCUGAUGGCUUUAACUCGCCUUGUUACUACAAAGAAACUGUCACAGAUAGGAACUUAUUCCAGGCUGAGUAUCUCCUCAUAGACCCUAUAAAAGAAGACAAGUCAUAAUGAACAUCUAACCUUUGUUCAAUUUGAUUCAAUGCCCCCAUUGUGUCCAUCUCACAAAUCUGAAUUAUUAUAUCCAUUGAAUACAUAAAUUAAUGAAGAAAAUAUGAAACCCAAGAUACAUCUCUGCACAACCUCAACCCUGGUUGCUAUGUUUCCCUUCUAUUCACAUGAUUUGAUGCUAAUUGCCAAACUUGCAACAAGCCCUGAGUUUGACACCUAGUAUCGAUGGGCGAAUUUAAAGUCUCCUCCAAACAUAUAUUCCACAGCUUGAAGCUCACAGAAGAUGUUACAGGCAGGGAAAAACCUUCAGAGUUCGCUACCAAAGAUAAUUAUUAAGGAGAUAUCACAAAGAGAAUUCCAAGGGGUCUGAAUCAAAGACAAAUUGGUCGUUCGUGGGGGUUCUUACUUUCUUUUGGGUAUAACUCACUGAGGGCACUGUCUUUGUUAUUUGCAUUUCACAUUUAGAGUUCUGUUCUGGAAACAUAUAAAAGGAGCAUCAUUUUGUUCUUGGGUAACCCAUAGUCGUGAGUGGGUCCAUUUGCAUGCUACUUAGUUGAAAAGUUGGACCAUUUGCUCCGACGCCUACCUCCCGGAUUCCAUGCUCGGAUAAAACAAGAAUAAAAAAAAUAUUUAUAAUUUACAAAUGGGGGAAAGAAAAAAAUGUCAACAACAAACCAGGAAAAAAGAGUAGUAAAAUUCAUGUCACAUGCUAGUGAGAGAAGGGGUUGUUACACUCACUCGAAGUUCUUUCCAAAAUAUCGCAUGGUAUUUUAUUUUAUGUGUCAGCGCAGUUGUGAAUGGAACGUGCAAAAGUCCAAAUUGGCGUUUUUCCUUUUCCCGUGUAGGAUGGCGACCUUUAAUAAAUAUUUAAAACAAAAAACGAAAAAAAGGAGGGAAAAGGGAUCAGAAAAGAUAAAACAAUGUGUACAAGAGCUCAAUUAGUUUGCAAAUUACUGUUUGGAUUUUGAUAGUAUUUUAUUUGUCCAUCUAUAUUUGAUGGAAAAGAGAAUUUAAGAUAUUUCUGAAACAAAAGCAUUAGUGUAAAACUAAAUUAAGGUAUAAUUAAGUUAGUUCAAUGCAUUAAUUUAAGAAACUUGAUCUAUCCAAAGUACAAAAUUAGAUGAAAUCCAUUUCAAUGGUUAAAAUGAUCAAAAUCAAACUUUUUCUAAGUAUUUUUUAAAAGCAUCAAUAUUAAAAGACAAUUUUAUAUUUAGUCGGAGUUUGGACAAAACCAAAAAGCACACAAAAUCCAAGCGACCAUCUCUAGCUUGGAUAGUCACUUGAUCCCACCUAGAGAUGUGCAUGAGUAAAAGGAUUUGAAAAUGGAAAUUGACUAAAUAUUUAGUUGAUCAAUUAAAUUUGCAAUGUCAUAUGCAAUCCUAAUAGCUAGUCAUCUAAUCAAUUAGGUAGUCAAUCAAGUGUUUGUAAUGACUAUUUUGUACAAAAAACCACAUGUAUAGUUAAAUAUAAUGCAUUUCAUUUAUAAAUCUUCUAAUUCUUGAAUAACGAUCCUAUCAUCCUUUGAAAAUUUUUAUUACACCUUUUUUACUUUUGUUCUAAAACUUACAUAUCACCCUUAAUUGUACCAUGAGAACCUAGCUAUUUUUUUUUUUUUUGUAAUUCAUCAAAGUUAGCUUUUGUAUUCAUUGUUGUAUUAUUUUUAGUAUAACUUAGAAAGCUAGUGUUUUCAAGUGAGUAAAAUUAACUUGUAAAUAUUGUAAAGAUUCAUUGAUAUGUAUCUUAAACUAAGUGUACAAAUUAAAACAUUUGCUAGUAGAUUUUCUCAAAAUUUAGAAUAGAGCUUGAGGCUAUUGAAAUAGGUGGGGUUACACCAAACCACAUCACAUCGUUGUUUGCACCUUUUUUCACUCUCUUUUACUUAGUUUCUCUAUAUUUGUUGUCUAGUAAUAUCCUAUAGGCUUGAUGGGUUAGGGAGCAUCCCUUUGUGAAAAAAUUUCAUUCAAUUCUUAGUUGUAUUACGCAUAUAUAAAAUGCCUCAUUGUUUUAAUGGUAUUCAGUCGUGGCAUCACAGAUAUGGGCAUCUAAAUUUUAAAAGUUUGAAACUUUUGUAAAGCAUGUUGAUAAAAUCCAUGAGAGUUGUGUACUUGGGAAGCAACAUCGAGGUGACUUUAUUUUUUUUUCCUUUUAUAAUGCCACACCUAAGUCCGGUUUCUAAAUGCUAAAGUGAAAGGGUAGGUAUGGACCAUUGAAAUGUGAUCACAACUUUUGGCCUUUUCCUUUCUCUGCAGCCAUGUUGUCUCUUUUUUCUUUUGCAUGAUUUUCUUACCAAAACAGAAUCAUAGACUUGUUUAGUCUCUAAGCUACUAUAUUAUAUCUCGGUGGACUUUUAAGAGUGCAACCGACAUAGAGCACAUGCAAGUGGGCAUAUGGGACAUGAAAUUUCUUCUUACAAAGAUUGCAUGAUUUUUAUAUUAGAGUUGUUCACGUGCAAUGUAUUUAGCUUGUUUUGCAGUUAAAUUAAUUGGAUAAGUAAACAUUGGCAUUUCUAAAUCGACUGUGAAGUGCUUCAUGUACGUGUAAAGUAUUAGAAAUUUCUUUCUUGGCAACUUGUUUUUUCCUUGCCAUCUACUGGUAGGUUUGACUAAAAUUAUAUUCCCUGUCAUGCUAAUUAAUUUUCAUGUGCAUGCUCAAAAGAAGAGUAUGACCUUAGUGCACCAAAAUCACUUUGAUUAAUUUGUGAUAGGUUUUUUUGCAUCAUUUAGAUAAUGUUUAGUUCUAAGAAAAAUUUAUAUAAAAAUGGUUUAUUUAUCUUACAUAUAUAUAUAUAUAUAUAUAUUUUUUUUUUUUUCAUUUUUUUUUCUUCUAUUUUAUUUAUUUAUUUUAUUUUCCUUAUGUUUUCCUCACAUUUUCCGGAACUAAACAUAGUCUUACGAAAUCAACAAUUGCCUUCAACUGAGUAGAUUCUGUUGUUUUAGCAAUGUUAGGCUGCUAACUUGUGGUGGUACGAACCAAAUGACCCAUGUUAAUCUUGGCUUGGUUUGAUUUGGCUCUAUCUCAGAGAGCUAAAGGAUCACGUCAACUCUGGUUUCUACUAUUCAGGUCCAUUCCCAGAUGAACUGGUUCAAAUUUGAGAAAAUGGUAACAGACCUUUAGUGAUGUUGGUUUGGAGCCAGUUGCCAAACCCGCCCUGAGCUUUACCACUAAUGUCAAGGGAGAAAGCCAUUUGAACAAAAACAAUAGCUUCAAGAGACUGAAUCGUGGAUGAAAUCUGAUCCACAUUUCUUCUCAUUUUGGGAAAAAAUGAGAACUUAACUACAAAGAUUCUACUGCCUCAUUCAUAGUGCUUUUCCUGAUCCAAGGUUGGUUCGUUUCCCAAAUUGUGAGGUGCACGUGCCACUCUCACGCUCAGGAGUGUAUCCACGUGGUGGACAUCAGAUGGUGGCUUAAUAUCUGGUGUCGGUGGCUUUACUUUACUAGGAGAGUAGUGUGUCUUCAUCUCAUUCACUGCCGGAGGGUGGCGUAAGCAGUGACGCUAAGGUGGGGCACAGUCAAUAUCAUUUGCAUUUGACCAUUAUAGUUUUCUCCCGGCUUGAAAGUAACCUUAUCGUGAUAAAGGAUUACUAGCACUAGUUCAGAUGACCGUCAUGUUAAUUCGGACCAUGUUUGUGUCACAUUAUCAGCAACCAUGUGUUUAUGGUUCAUGCUAUCUGCAACUAAACUUGAUAUAUAACCAGGUGAACUUCAAUCAAAAUUCUGGAAGUACUCUUGUGAUAGAUGGUGCCUGUCUGCAGAGUCCAUCAAUUGAAAAAUGGAGUGAGUGUAUCUAUAAGAGGGAAGGCUUGGCAAAUGUUCAGUUUUCUGGGAAUUCAACAAGGAUCUAAAAUAGAUUGUUUUCUUUGCCGACUUCAAUGGUUGAAAUUUGAGAAGAUUGUGUCCACAUAUCACAACUAUUACUGGUCCUUCUGUUGCAAUUUAUCCUGUAAGGCUCUAACAUGUCUUCCAAUUCCCACUUCCCUGUUACUCCAGGAAAGCUAUUUCUGUCAUUGUGAAGAAGAAAAGAGAAUGUACAUAUCGAUGCUUUUAAGUGACUGGAGCAUUCAUAUCAGGUGGUCUGCAGCCAUAUAUGCCACUUUGUGAAGGUUGGAACAGUCAAUCACUAGGCUAUAUAUUGGUGUGGCCCAGCCACUUCAAUCAAGGACAAGUCUUCAUACUUAAAGUCAAAUUCUGCCUUUAGUCUCAUUAUAAAUUGCUGUUUAAAUAUUAAGCAAACUUUUGUUUAAUGCGAUUAAGACAGUACUAACUCAAUACUUGUUCUAUUUUUGGAUGCAAAUGCUUGAUGGUUUCAUCAUUGGAUGGGAUAAAGGUGCAUUCAUGAUUAUGAAUACUUGUAGUUAUAUUUUCAUUCUCUUUUUUCUCAAUGAGACUUGUUGGCACAAUGUUGCUGUUCAGAAACCUACCUCUCCAUGGAAAAUAAGUUGCGAUUGAUAGUACUGGAUAUGUUCAAGAAAGCUAAAUAUAGAUAGCACAAAAUAUUAUCGAUAUAAAUAGCAUUAACAGCGUACGUAUGUCUCAAUGCUCAUCAGCUAUAAGCAUGGGACAAACACUUACUAUGAGCAACUUACGUCAAAAUUCCAGAAUAGGACAUAGAAGUGACAGAUCUAUAUAUAUAGAACACUGCAUAUGAGUCACAAGAAAGGAAAUUACGGGUGCAUAGCAGCUCUUAUUUUACAUACUACUACUCAUACUGAUCAAAGUCACUCAGUUGGGAUGGGUGGGAGUAGGAGGUUUGUGGGGUGGCUUGUGCGGAGGAGUUGGCAGCUUCUUUCCAGGACCUGGUUGCUUCUCUGCUGGAGUUGAAGGAGGCUUAAUCUUCCGAGGUGGCUUGUAUGAGUCUUCAGCAUUCUCAGCUGGAGGGUGACCAGGGUUGUGACCAUAAUGUGGUGGCUUCUCUCCCUUAGGUGGUUUGCCAACUGGGGUUGGUGGCUUGUAUGAGUCUUCAGCAUUCUCAGCAGGAGGGUGACCAGGGUUGUGACCAUAAUGUGGUGGCUUCUCUCCCUUAGGUGGUUUGCCAACUGGGGUUGGUGGCUUGUGUUCUGGGAGUGGCUUCUCCCCCUUGGGAGGUUUUUCCAAUGGGGUUGGUUUGUGUUCAGGAGGUGGCUUCUCCACUGGAGGCUUGUGUUCAGGAGGUGGCUUCUCCACCGGUGGCUUGUGUUCAGGAGGUGGCUUCUCCACCGGAGGCUUAUGCUCUGGUGGUGGCUUCUCCACCGGAGGCUUAUGCUCUGGUGGUGGCUUCUUGAAUGGGGGAUGCUGAGGGUAAUCAGCAAGUGAGGGGGCGGUGAGAACCACCAGGCCAAGCAACACCACUAGCAAAUAUGUAGGAGACAUCUUUGGGUUUGGGCUCAGAUGGUGCAAAACUAGGAGAAUUGGCUAGCCUUUUAUAGCGGAUCGUACUCAAUAAUGAAAUGACACGUGUCAUUAUGACCCAUGUGUAAUGGGGUCGAUUUGGGUCCUACAGUGUUGAAAACUUCGACAUCCAGUUUUGGCCUUUUGCUUUCUCUACAGCCGCCUUGCUUUUUCCCUCUUUCCUUUUGUUUUCCUCCUGCCCCAUUCUAUCAACUAAACACAAUUAUGUAGUUGUUUAAUUCUUAAAUGAGAUAUUAUCGGUCAAUCGUAUUAUAUUUUAUCAAGAGAGAACGGAGUGCAAUGCAGCUGUAAUUUUAUCGUUUACUUUUAUCUCUUGGACCACUGCAUUUUUGUUAAGAGGUGCAAUAAUACACGUCUUUAUCUGCCAUUCAAUGUUUACAGUAAAGAGAGGGCACAAAACUCUUCACUGCUCUGCAUGUGUCCCAAAAAUGCGAUUGGACAAAUUAUGAUUUGCAUGCUAAAAAGAGGCAAAUGAGGUUAAUUCGCACCAUAAUUAUUUGGUUUUCUGGACACCAUAAAAAGAUGUUAUACAGGCAGGGAAAAACCUUCAGAGUUAGCUACCAAAGAUAAUUAUCAAGCAGAUAUCACCAAGAGAAUUCCAUAGAGUCUGAAUCAAAGACAGAUUGCUCGCUCGUGGGGGUUCUUACUUUCUUUUGGGUAUAACUCACUGAGGUCACUGUCUUUUUUAUUUGCAUUUCACAGUUAGAGUUCUGCUCUGGAAGGUUUGUUCUGGAAACAUAUAAAAGGAGCAUCAUUUUGUUCUUGGGUAACCCAUAGUCGUGAGUGGGUCCAUUUGCAUGCUACUUAGUUGAAAAGUUGGACAAUUUGCUCCGACGCCUACCUCCUGGAUUCCAUGCUCGGUAAAACAAGAAUAAAAAAAAAUAUAUAAUUUACAAAUGGGGGAAAGAAAAAAUGUCGGAAAAAAUAGUAAAAUUCAUGUCACAUGCUAGUGAGAGAAGGGGUUGUUACACUCACUCGAAGUUCUUUUCAAAAUAUCGAAUGGUAUUUUACUUUAUGUGUCAGCGCAGUUGUGAAUGGAACGUGCAAAAGUCCAAAUUGGCGUUUUUAUUUUUCCCAUGUAGGAUGGUGACCUUUAAUAAAUAUUUAAAACAAAAGACGAAAAAAAAAAGGAGGGAAAAGGGAUCACAAAAGAUAAAAUAAUGUUUACAAAAGCUCAAUUAGUUUGCAAAUUACUGUUUGGAUUUUGAUAGUAUUUUAUUUGUCGUUCUAUAUUUGAUGUAAAAGAGAAUUUAAGAUAUUUCCGAAGCAAAAGCAUUAGUUUGCUCUGUGAUGUCCCACAUCGAAUAGGGGAGAAAGUUUCUGGCGCUAUAUAUGUAGAGGCUCCUCUUAACCAAGUAGAUGCGUUUUAAAACCAUGAGGGCCCCCUUAGGUCCAAAGCGGACAAUAUCUACAUGAUUGGGUGUAAGUCAUUACAAAUGGUAUCAGAGCCGAUCCCCGACCCCGGUGUGGGGGUUUGUUUGGCCCUGUAAGGGGUGUUUGUCUGUUUGACCCCACAAUCCCAUGGGACACAACGAGGACGUUGUGUCUGCAUGGGGGGGCGUUUGUGAUGUCCCACAUCGGAUAGGGGAGAAAGUUCCUAGUGCUAUAUAUGUAGAUGUUUCUCUUAACCAAGUAGAUGCAUUUUAAAAUUGUGAGGGCCUCUUUGGGCCCAAAGCGGACAAUAUCUACAUGGUUGAGUGUAAGUCAUUACAUGCUCCAUGUCAAUUUCAGCAUUUCUCAUAUGUUUCACACAUACACAGAAGAGCAUCGUUUUUUAAAGCAUGCAUUUAUGUUGGAUUAAUUUGGAUUUUGUGGGAACUGGGGCAAGGAUCACAUGGAAGAGAGGUUGACUUUUUUCAGUACUUCAAUGGUUGAAAUAUGUGAAGGCUUGAUUGAUACUAAAGCUUGAAAUUGCGACUCUGUCAUUUGUAAAAAAAUAUGACAGCUUCCAUGCUCUCGUUUGGUUGCAUUGUCCGGUCGAGAGGUGCAAAAAGCAUUCUCUCUCUUCUAAUAGUCUUUUCGUUUAAAUCAAGGGAUUUGCCUUCCCGGUCGAGGUCCAAUAGAGGGUAACGGUCACCUACUAAACAUUAAAUGCUCCAACAACUAGUGAACUGAUCGACCCCAGCUCGACUAGUUGAGGUUACUUUUUGGUUUUCUUGUCUCCCGAGGUUAGAAACCUAUAAAUAGAGAGCUUCACUUCAUUUAUGAGUAAGAGAACACCUAAAUUUAUUUGUUUACCUACUUGUUUUUGCCAUAAAAGCUCUCAUUUCUUUUCUUGGUGUAUUAAAUCUCCAUUUGCAUAUCCUUUAGUGCACCUUUGUGAUUCAUUCUAGCCUUGAGUUGUAUUUAAGCCUUUGUUGAGCUAGGUUGAGAGUUUCAUACUUGUUUAUUGAGUGUUAAAGCCUUCAAGUGAGUUAAAACUUGAAGAGAUUGUGUAAGAGCCCAUUGGAGUCGGAAUCCAAGUGUAAAGGUGAUUAAAAGCUUGGUUGAAGCUUCAAGUUAGUGGAACUCUCACUCGGUUAUGAGCUUGAGAAGAGUGGACAUAGACAAGGCAGUGUCGAACCACUAUAAAAUCUGAGUUUGAUUUCUCUAACCUUAUCUCUUUAUAUUUGCUUCUCUUGUGCUUAAAUUUUUUGUGUUUAAAAAGAAUUUUUAAAAACUCAAUUCACCCCCUUCUUGGGAGUUUUUCUCUUUUAAGAUCAGCUUUUAUUUUCUCAAUUGGUAUCAGAACUAUGCCUCUUGUUUAAGACUUAAUCGUCUAAGAGGAAAUGGCUAAUCCAUCAAGUUCAUCUCACAUUGAAAGUUUUGCAACCAAUAGACUUCUUUUUUUUUUUUUGCGGGAACUGAUUAUCCCUAUUGGAAAACUAAAAUGACUUGGUUUUUACAAUCAAUUGAUUUAGAUGUAUGAGAUGCCAUUGAAGAUGACCUAACUUUUCCUUCAAAACUAGUUGAUGGAGUCAUGGUUCCAAAACCUAAGCAAGAAUGGGAUGAGCGUGAUUGAAGAAAUUUUCAAUUAAAUGCUAAAGUCGUUUAUACUUUGCAAUGCUCUAUGGACAGAAAUGAAUAUAAUAGAAUAUGUCAAUGCAAAUCGGUUAAAGAAAUUUGGAGAUUGCUUGAAAUAACUCAUAAAGGAACAAAUCAAGUUAAAGAGUCAAAAAUCAAUUUACUUGUUCAUAGAUAUGAAUUGUUUUUUAUGAAAGAUAAUGAAACUAUUGUUAAGAUGAUCACUAGGUUCACCAACAUUGUUAAUGGUCUUAAAGCCUUGGGAAAGACCUACAAGGAAUCCGAAAACGUGAUGAAGAUCUUGAGGUCACUUCCAUCAAAGUGGCAUACCAAGGUCACCGCAAUUUAAGAAGCAAAAGACUUGAUCAAGCUACCUUUGGAGGAGUUCAUAGGGUCAUUGAUGACAUAUGAAAUCAAUUUGGCAAAGAAGUAACAAAAAGGUGAAGACAAAAAGAAGAAGAACAUAACUCUCAAAGCUACAACUAAGGAAGAAGAAGUUGAAGAAGAAAAACAAAUUGAAGAAGAUGAAGAUUUAGCCCUCAUCACAAGAAAGUUCAACAAAUUCAUGAGGGGUGAAAGGUUUAGAAGAAGAAGGUUCACUUCUAGAAGAGACUUUUCUAAAAAGGAAUCUUCAUCUAAUGGUGACAAAAAGAGAUGGGAAGAGAAAAGAGACUUGGUGUGUUUCAAGUGCAAGAAACCGGGACACAUUAAAUAUGAUUGUCCUCUCUACAAAAGUGAAGUCAAGAGGAAAAAGAAUAAGGCAAUGAUGGCCACUUAGAGUGAAAGUGAAGAUGAAUCAUCCGAAGAAGAAAAUGAGAAAGAAGUGGCAAACAUGUGUUUCAUGGCAAUAGAUGAACUUGAUGAGGUAAAAUCUAACCUUAGUGAUUAAGAUAUACAUGAUGCAUUUGAAGAAUUGUAUGAGGAUUUUUAAAAACUUAGUUUGAAAAAUAUUUCUCUUAAAAAGAAAGUUCAACAACUUGACAAAGAACUUAGAGAAGUAAAAGAAAAAUUUUCAAAUGUUAAAGUUUCUAAAACUCAUCUUGAAAAAGAAAAUGAGAUUCUAAGAAAGAAAAAUGAAUAGUUGAACUCCUCUCUUUCAAUCUUUUCUUCUAGACAAAAAUCUUUUGAAAUGAUUCUAACUAGCUAAAAAUGUGUUUUUGACAAACAAGGGUUAAGAUUUAAAUCUUCAAAAAAUCAAAAGUAUUUUAAAAACUAUUUUGUAAAGGAAUCCACAAGUGCAAGUCCUUCCACUACUUGCAACUUUUGUGGAAGAGAAUGGCACAUUAGUAGUACGCCCUUUAAGAAAUGGUUCUCAAAAGAAUUUAAAUGCAAAAACUAAAAAAGAUUUGGAUUGAGAAAUCCAAGGUCACUAACCCUCAAGGACCCAAAAAGAUAUAGGUACCUAAAUCAACUUGAGUUUUAUGUUGUAAGGUUCAAAGAAUGAUAAGUGGUUCUUAGAUAAUGGUUGCUCAAGACACAUGACCGGAGAUGAAUCCAAGUUUGCUUUUCUUAAAAAGAAAAAUGGAGGAUAUGUUACCUUUGGAGACAAUGCAAAAGAAAGGAUGAUUGGUCAAGGCAACAUUGGUAAUGGCACAUCCUCUCUCAUUGAAAGUGUUUUAUUAGUAGAUGGUUUCAAACAUAACCUUUUAAGCAUUAGUCAAUUUUGCGACAAAGGUUUUUAAGUGAUUUUUUAAGCAUCUCAUUGCAUCAUCAAGGAUAUUCAAAAUGAUAAAACCAUUUUCAUGGGCCAUAGAUGUGAUAAUGUUUAUGCUAUAAAUAUUUCAAAAUAUGAUGGCCAUGAUAGAUGUUUUUCAAGCAUGCAUGAUCAAAGUUGGUUGUGCCAUAGGAGAUUGAGACAUGCUAACAUAGACCUCAUUUCCCAACUCAACAAAGAUGAACUUGUUAGAGGCCUUCCCAAAAUAAUUUUUUAAAAAGAUAAAGUUUGUGAAGCUUGUCAAGUGGGAAAGUAAAUCAAAAACUCUUUUAAAAACAAAAACUUCAUUUCCACAUCUAGGCCACUUGAGUUGUUGCAUAUGGAUUUAUUUGGUCCCUCUAGGACACCAAGUCUUAGAGGAAAUUCUUAUGCAUAUGCUAUUGUGGACGACUUCUCUAGAUACACAUGAGUCUUGUUUUUUAGUCAAAAGAAUAAAGUUUUUUAUGAGUUUUCAAAGUUUUGCAAUAAGAUUCAAAAUGAAAAAGGUUUUUCAAUUACUUAUAUAAGAAGUGAUCAUGGGAGAGAAUUCGAAAAUAUUGAUUUUGAAGAGUAUUGCAAUGAGCAUGGAAUUGACCACAAUUUUUUGGCUCUUAGAACUCCUCAACAAAAUGGGGUAGUUGAAAGGAAAAAUAGAACUCUUCAAAAAAUGACAAGAACCAUACUAAAUGAAAACAACUUACCAAAAUAUUUUUAGGCCAAAACGGUUAACACUUCUUGUUAUGUUUUAAAUAGAGUAUUAUUGAGGCUCAUACUUAAGAAAACUCCCUAUGAGCUUUGGAAAAACAAAAAACCCAACAUUAGUUAUUCCAAAGUCUUUGGAUGCAAUAUUUUAUAAUAAACACCAAAGACAAUCUUGGAAAAUUUGAUGCAAAAUUGGAUGUUGGAAUUUUCCUUGGUUACUCAACUUCAAGUAAAGCUUUUCGAGUUUUAACAAAAGAACCAUGGUUGUAGAGGAGUCCAUCCAUGUUAUUUUUUAUGAAUCUCCAAGAAAGAGAGAGGAUUGAUGAUGAUUUAGGUUUGAAGACCUCUAUAGGAAGAUUGCAAAUCGAAGAUAGAAGACAACAAGAAGAAAAUGGAGAGAAUCCAAAGAAAGAAGGAUCACCAUUGGCACUACCCCCUCAUCAACAAGCGCAAGGUGAAUCAAGUCAAGAGCUUCCUAAAGAAUGGAAGUUUGUCAUCAAUCACCCACAAGAUCAAAUUAUAGGCAAUCCAUCUAGUGGGGUAAGAACUAGAUCCUCUCUUAGAAAUAUUUGCAAUAAUCUAGCUUUUAUCUCUCAAAUUGAGCCUAAAAAUAUAAAUGAUGUUUUAGAUGAUGAAAAUUGGAUAAUUGCAAUGCAAGAAGAGUUAAAUCCAUUUGAAAGAAGUGGAGUAUGGGAAUUAGUACCAAGACCUUCAAAUCAAAGUGUUAUUGGAACUAGAUGGAUCUUUAGAAAUAAAAUGGAUGAAAAUAGCAUAAUUGUUAGAAAUAAAGCAAGAUUGGUAGCCCAAGGUUUUAAUCAAGAAGAAAUGAUAGAUUAUGAAGAAACCUUUGCCCCCGUAGCUAGGUUGGAAGCCAUUAGGAUGCUACUUGCCUUUGCAUGUUUUAAAGACUUUGUUUUAUAUCAAAUGGAUGUGAAAAGUGCUUUUUUAAAUGGUUUUAUAAAUGAAGAAGUAUAUGUUGAACAACCACCCGGUUUUCAAAGUUUCAACUUUCCUAACCAUGUUUUUAAACUUAAAAAGACACUUUAUGGUUUGAAACAAGCACCUAGAUCAUGGUAUGAAAAAUUGAGUAAAUUUCUUUUGAAAAAAAUGUUUUAAAAUGGGAAAAAUUGACACAACUCUUUUUAUAAAAACCAAAGAAAAUGAUAUGCUCUUAGUUCAAAUAUAUAUUGAUGAUAUCAUUUUUGGUGCUACUAAUGUCUCUCUUUAUGAAGAAUUUUCUAAGUGCAUGCAUAGUGAGUUUGAAAUGAGCAUGAUAGGAGAACUCAACUUCUUCCUUGGACUUCAAAUCAAGCAACUAAAGGAAUGAACCUUCAUCAAUCAAGCAAAGUAUAUAAGAGAUCUUCUCAAAAGGUUCAACAUGGAAGAAGCCAAAACAAUGAAGACUCUAAUGAGCUCAUCCAUUAAGCUUGAUAAGGAUGAGAAAGGUAAAUCCAUUGACUCUAUUAUGUAUAGAGGCAUGAUAGGUUCUUUGCUCUAUUUGACCACUAGUAGACCUUACAUUAUGUAUAGUGUGUGUUUGUGUACUAGAUUUCAAUCUUGUCUUAAAAAAUCUCACUUAAGUGUCGUGAAAAGAAUCCUCAAAUAUUUGAAAGGGACAAUGGACAUAGGCUUAUGGUAUCCUAAGAGUGAUAACUUUGAAUUAAUUGGUUUUUUGGAUGCUGAUUUUGUCAGUUGUAGGGUUGAAAAAUAAAACACUAGUGGCACUUUUCAUUUCUUAAGACACUUACUUGUCUCAUGGCAUAAUAAGAAGCAAAAUUUGGUAGCUUUGUCAACAGCAGAAGCUAAAUACAUAGCAACUGGUUUAUGUUGUGCACAAAUCCUUUGGAUGAAAUAAACACUUAGUGAUUUUGAUUUAUCUUUUGAGCAUAUUCCUAUUAAAUGUGAUAAUAGUAGUGCCAUAAGUAUAUCAAAAAAUCUCGUGCAACACUCUAGGACUAAGCAUAUAGAGAUUAGACAUAAUUUUCUUAGAUAUCAUACACAAAAGGAUGAUAUAACACUUGAAUUUGUAAGCAUAAAAGACCAACUUGCCGAUAUCUUUACAAAACCUCUAAGAACAUUUUGUUGAUAUUAGAGGACAAUUAGGAGUGAUUUCUUUAUGAUCUAAUGUGAUGAAUUCUUGAUGAAUAUACUUUUUGAUUGCAUGAAUUUCAUGUCAUAUAUGCAUCAUAUAGAAAUAUACUUAGAUAAUGGUCAAAUUUCGACCAAAAAUCAAAAUUCCCAUGGCAUUAGGCAUAAAAAUUUUGGAAUUUCAACUGAAAAUGGUAGGAGGAGGAUCACAAAAUGAGAAAGUAUGCAAAAAUUGAAAAAUCAAAACGUUGACCAAGCGGUCAAUCGGACUAGACCGAUCGACUAGUUUGUCGAGAUUUAGGAUUUUUAAGAGACUCCAACGCUUCAAUUUUUGCACCGUUCUCCUCUAUUUCUUCACGGUUUCUCUGAUUUUGUCUUUUAGAGACUAAUUUGAGUGCGUUUUGGAUCAAUUGAAGCAUUUUGGAUUGGAUUUUAGGAAGAUUGAAAGUUAAGGUUUCGGAUUUGGGUCGCCUUCUCUUCCUCUCGCGUGUCACAAUCAGCUUUAGCAUUGUUCUCUUUCCAUUUUCACACACCUAGGGUUUCAGUUGUGAGCAUCUCUCUCUCUUUACCAACCACUACUCCCUUGCUUCUUCCAUAUGGCUCCUAGGCGAGAGUCCGCUACUUCUAGGGCACAAGGCAAGCACCCAACUGAGUCGUCUCAGUCAAAGGCACGUCGAAAAGUGAGAUUUGACAUUGCCUUGUUCAGUUCCAUGGAGGACUACCAACUAUACAAGCAACACUUUGCUUAGAGACGAGUAGUUCCCAAGAGAAAUAUUAAUUUUCCUCAACUUCAGCAUUUCGAAUUUAAGGGUCUAUUUACUAGGAUGGUUGGUUGUCUAUUGUCACAAUUUCGGAGCCGGUUUUCCUGACCUUAGUGCGAGUUUUUUACUCGAGGGCGACUUAUGGCAUGGGUGGCAUGAUCAUUUCUACUGUUGGAGGAGUUGAGAUCUGUCUGGACCCAGAGAGCAUCUGCCAUAUUUUCGAUAUUGCUCUGGUUGGACUCAAAGUAUACAAGUCCAAAAUGUGGCCCAUUGUGCCAGGAUUUGAGCUUAGAGAGGUCAUUCAGAGGAUUUGUGAACUUCCAGACGCCCAGGAGAUGGGCAAACCAUUGCCACACAGUUUGACGGUCAUCAACAGGGUGCUACACCAUAUAUUGUGCUCUAUCUUUCUACCACGAAGUGGACAUUGAGAUGAGGUCUCUUAUUAUGAGGCAUUCCUUAUUGACUCCAUUCUAACGGAGAGACGAAUUCAUCUACUAUGUCAUCAUUCACUAAGCCUCCUCACAGUGACAUACCACCUCAUCAGGCACCUCUUGCUCCUGACCAUGCUCCAUUGAUGGAUUUAUUUACUCAUAUUAGCUCUCUAGGCACUCGCAUGAAGGAGUUUGUUGUAGUUAGUGAUACAUGGUUCUACUCCAUAGAGGAUCGCAUGGAUCAGUAUCAGACUGGCUUCACGUCACAGUUUGAGUAUCUCCAAUAGAGGAUUGAGCAUAUUGAGGAUCACUUGAGCAUGAGAAGAUGAUGGCUUUUCUAUGCUCUGUGUUUCCACCUCCACCUCGUCAACCUUGAUUUCUUAGAGACCCAUUGUUUUCAUUUUGUAAUGUUGCCAAAAGGGGGAGAUAUUUAGGAUCUAGGACUCUAUAGGAGACUUACAUGCAUAUCAUUUUCAUAUCAUUGUUUGGAUCGUACAUAUUGGAUAGUGAUACUUUUUACUUAUAUAUGAUAUGCCUAUAUGUUUCAUGUCUUACAUUGUUUCUUAUUGCAAAUUAUCUCUAACAUGUCUUGAUUAUCUUUUUUUUAACUUCAUAAAUUUUGAUUGUUAACCCAUGAUUGGUUUGAGGGGAAGAUUCUUCUUCUCCUAGAUAACCAAGGUUUGUCAUCAUAAAAAAAUUGGAGAUUGUUAGCCCAAGGGUUCUCCUAAUCAUGUUUUGAUGAUAACAAACCAUGCUUAAGUUACUAAUUGGUUUGAAUUAUAAAGAAUUUCAAGUGUUAAUUUGAAAAUUCAUCAAAGAACCUAAUGGAUGCAAGAUCAAGAUUUUUGGAAGACCUUUAAUCAUAAGAAACAUAUGUAAGAUGAAUGCAUGGGUGCACUUAAGAUUUGCAUAUCAUUUCAUGCAUAUUUGGAAAACACGGUUUAUGCUUUAAAGUUACAUUUCCAUCAAAAUUUGAGAUCCAUCAAAUGAACCUUAGGAAAAAUGUUUUAAAAUUGGCAUAUAAUUUUACCUAAAGACCUUGCCUAAGUGUUAGAAGCAAAAGGACAAAAAAAAUAUAGGUUUUCUGGUCAAAAAUGGUGAACCAGUCAAGGCAUUGUCUAAAUCAGCUCAAUCGGCCAAGGUACCGGUCGAUCGGUUUCCCUUUCCCUGUCGAGAUCUAGUCAAGAGGUACAAAAAUCACAAUCUCUGUCUCUUUCUCUCUUUGUCUAUCUUCCAGUAGUCUUUCCUUCCCGGUCGAGGGAUUUGCCUUCCCGAUUGAGGUCCGAUUGAGAGUAAUAGUCACUUGCCAAAUAUUAAAUGCUCCAACAGUUAGUGAACUGGUCGACCCCCACCUUGCCCAGUUGAGGUUACUUUUUGGUUUUCUUGGCUCCCGAUGUUAGAAACCUAUAAAUAGAGAGUUCCACUUCAUUUAUGAGCAAGAGAACACUUGCAUUUAUUUGUUUACCUACUUGUUCUUGCCUUAAAAGCUCUCAUUUCUUUUCUUGGUGCAUUAAAUCUCCAUUUUGAUAUCCUUUAGUGCACCUUUGUGAUUCAUCUUAGCCUUGAGUUGUAUUUGAGCCCUUUUUUUAGCUAGGUUGAGAGUUUCAUACUUGUUAAUUGAGUGUUAAAGCCUUCAAGUGAGUUGAAACUUGUAGAGAUUAUGUGAGAGUCGAUUGGAGCCGAAAUCCAAGUGUAAAGGUGAUUAGAAGCUUGGUUGAAGCUUCAAGUUAGUGGAAUCCUCACUCAAUUAGGAGCUUGAGGAGAGUGGACGUAGCCAAGGAAGUGUCGAACCACUAUAAAAUUUGAGUUUGAUUUCUCUAACAUUGUCUCUUUAUAUUUGUUUAUCUUGUGCUUAAAUUUAUUGUGUUUAAAAAGAAUUUUUAAAUACCCAAUUCACCCCCCUCUUGGGUGUUUUUCUCUUUUAAAAUUAGCCUUUAUUUUCUCACAAACUAUUGUAGUAUAGUGGUUUUUAGGUGUCAUCCAUUAGGAUGAAUUGUUCUCGGUAAUUAAGGCGUGAAUGAGAGGAGAAUUAAUGAUUGUGAUUAAGUAAAAUUGAUUUGAAAAUUCAUGGUGAAAAAUCAAUUUAACAAUGGUUUCUAAUUGAGAAAAACAAUGAAAUGUGAAAUAAAAUAAAAUUAAUAGGAAAUGAAAUUCUCGAAGUUAGAAUUUUCUAAAAAACAAAUUCCAUGGUGAAUGGAUGUUGAGAUCUAAUUUUCAUCAAGUUAGAUUGAAAACCGAAAUUUUCAUAUAAACUGAUUUUUUAUUUAGUUUUAGGUCUAGAUUUAAUUUCCCUUAAAAUUAGGUUAUUUAAUCCAAGAAAUCAAUUCAAAUCAUAUAUUCAAUUCAUCUUAAAUUAUCUUCCAAUUAUUCACACAAUGCAACUAUUCAAUCUCAUCAAAUCUAGCUUUUAAGAAUUUAAUGAAUCUACCUAGUUUGCAUUGUAAUAGUCAUCCAUGACAAUUUGAAGAGAAAAAUAAUUCAAUUAAUCAAUCACUUGGAUCAAAUUACCUUUGCAAUUAAAGUUCAUUUCUCUAAUUCACCACAGAUUUUGUCUCUAGAUCCUCCUUUCUCAAAGAAAAAUGAGAUUUAGCCACACAUGAUUGGAGAUUUGGUCUCAUAAGGCAUGUUUAGCUAGUGAUAAAAUGAGAGAAAAUAAAGAAAAAUAGAGAAUUCGAUUAAGAAAGAAAAUCUAAAAAAUUCUACAAUUAGAAAUGUCCAAAAAGCUUUUUCAUGAGAAAAUCAAGUUUCUAUUUAUAGGCCAAGGUCAAGUGGACACUUGACAUCAUCUAAGAGGUCUUCCGGAAGCUUCUUCAUCAAGAAAUCUGGAGUUUAAUAAUAAAAUGGUCAUUUCACAAGAGCUCAAACAAUUUCGCAUGAUUAUGUGAAAUAAAAAAUGCAACAACAGCAAUUUACAUCUUCUUGGAGCAUUUCGCAUGACUGUGUGAAAUUUUCACAUGAUCAUGUGGAAUCGACUUGACAACUCUCAUUUAGCCUACAACAUAAUUCCACCUUUUGGUCCAUUUUUCAUAGUCAUGCGAAAUGGAAAUAUUUGAUUUUUAAGUUUUCUUUUGUCAUUUCUUUCAUUUCCUUCUCUUGAUUCCACUUCAACUACCUCCGAAUCCUGGUCCAAACCAAUUGCAUUACUUCUUUCAUUAUGCAUUUGGAUCAUCAUCAACAUUAUUUGUUCUCUUCAAUUUGAUUCAUCUCUUUUGUCACCAAUUUAUCAAAAUCAUACCUUGAAAUGACUCCAAAACUUCAUAAAACUUGUUAGUAACUCUUGCAAGGGCAACAACAUAUUAAUUAAGUGUUUUAGGCAUAGUUACUACUCAAAAGAUGCGAAACUCAUGAUAAUUAUUAUAUAAAAUAUGCUCUUUUUGAGUAGUAAUCAACUUUCUUGCAUAAGCAGACCUUUUAGGGUGGAGUACUAAAGACCAAUAUGCUUGUCCUUGUUGUAAUAAAGAAACUUGCUCUUAUUGAUUGCACCAUGGGAGAAAAUUUUGCUACAUGAGUUAUCAUCAAUUUCUUCCCACCAAUCAUAGAUUUAGACGUGACAAGAGGCCUCUUAAUGGCAAGGAGGAACUGACACUCACACUUAUACAAUUAUCGGGCAUUGAUGUGUUGCAACAAUUAGAAUAACUUACACCAAUUAUGUUGGGGAAGUCACAAAAGGCAAACAUGAAAACUAAAAGGAAAAAAGAAAAAUGUUACAUAUCACCACAACUGGAAAGAAAAAAGUAUUUACUUUCAUUUGCCAUAUUGGAAAGCACUUAUUUUACAUCAUAAUAAUUUAGACAUAAUGCAUAUUGAGAAAAAUGUGUGACAAUAUAAUUGAGACAUUGUUCAGUAUUGACGAAGAAACAAGGACAACCUAAAUAGUCAUCUCGAUUUACAAGCUCUAACUAUUAGAAAUGAGAUUCACCCAAUAGAAAGCAGGACCAAAUUUAUUUUGCUUGCAACAUGCUACUCACUCACCCCAAAUGAGAUUAAGGAAUUUUGCAAGUUUUUGAAAUCAAUAAAGGUCCCCAAUGGCUAUUCUUUCAAUAUCUCUCGUUAUGUGCAACUCAAUGAAAGGAAGAUAUAUGAGCUCAAAUUGUAUGAUUGUCAUGUCCUAAUGCAACAACUUCUCUCACUUGUAGUUCGUGGAGUUCUACAUAAGAAUGUUUGUGGAGUUAUCAUAGAAUUGCGUAAUUUUUUCAAGCAAUUGUGCUCAAAGGUGUUAGAAACAAAUCACUUACACCAACUUGAGAACAAUAUUAUUGUCAUACUAUGUAAAAUGGAGCAAAUAUUUCUUCCAUCAUUCUUUGAUAUUAUGGUGCAUUUACUUGUGCAUCUAGUAAGGCAAAGGUUGCAAGACUUGUGCAAUAUUGUUGGAUGUACCUAAUUGAACGAUAUUGUUAUAAUUUCAUAUGAAUCAUUUAAUUUUAUUUUAUAUUAUGUUCAGUUCAUUAACAUGUACAUUGGUCUACAUAUGGAUGAUGAUAGGUACCUAAGCACUUUAAAGUCAUAUGUGCGUAAUAGAACUUUUCUAGAAGGUUCUAUUGUAGAAAGGUACCUUGCAAAAGAAUGUACAACAUUUUAUUCUAGGUACUUGAAUGAUGUGGAAAUAAAGUAUAAUCACAAUGAUAGAAACUUUGUUGGUUUCAACACUAGAGGAGAUGAAAGGGGUUAUCUUUAAACAUAUUGGACAUGCAUUGGGAAAGCCCAUAUUUCAUUAACUUAGUUCAAAAGAGUGGUCACAAGCACAUUUAUAUGUGUUGACAAAUUGCGAAGAUGUCAUACCAUUCAUUGAGUAAAAAAUUUAUUUGAAUUUUAAUUAAAGCUCUAGUUUAUAUCCUUAAUCAAUGUUUUUUAAAUUCACAAGGAGCACAAGCAAACCAUCAAGGCUAGACCACAUAUACGUGUUUGAGACGUAGAUUUAAUUCAUAACAAGGAAUUUAUCAAGUGGUUUGAAAGACAUGUAAGUAUAUUCCUUAUUAUAAGGGAUUUAUUUCACAUUAUGUUUAUAUUGAAUCCAAACCUAUUAUUGAAUUGUAGGUUGAACAAUUACAUAAUGAAGGUCAUAUAUCUGAACACCUUCUCACAUUAUCAUGUGUUCCAAAUUCAUUAGUUACAUGCUUCAAAUGAUAUAUUGUCAAUGGAUUUAGAUCCCACAUUAAAGAACGUGAUAAAAAAGUUUUUAAAAAAAGACUCAGAAUAAUGGAAUUGUUGUAGUUGCAAAAACGUCAAGCUUUACAAGUGCAUGUGAUAUGAGUCCAAUUAUUAGUGAUGCUCUCUACUAUGGUGUUCUAACUAAAGUUGUUGAGUUACAUUAUCUUGGUGAAAAUAAGGUUGUUUUAUUCGAGUUUGAUUGGUGGGAUGUUACAAAUAUUGGAAAAUUGAUAAAAGAUGAUGAGUACAAUUACACAUUUGUUAACUUUGCAUGAAUUCUAACCACGAACGAACGAUUUGUACUUGCAUCUCCAGCAAAGUAAGUGUUCUAUGUGAAGAAUGCGAAUGAAUCAGAUUGGCAUACUAUCAUGGAGAUGCAACCUCAAGACCUCUAUAAGAUGAACGGGAUAGGAUCCAAUGGUGAUUUUGAACCAUUUCAACAAAGUGAACUACAUGAUCACUAAUAUAUCUCAGAUUUAGUUGAUGAAGAUAUAAUCAAGUGGAACAAAAGUGAUGUUUUAGGACUAAUCAUCCUAAAAAAUAUUGUAGUUUCUUAAAAAAAAAAUGAAAAUGAAGAAGAUAAUUGAACCUUUGUCAUACUUUAAAAAGCAACUAUGCAUUGUUCAUUUUGUAUGUUUUGGUUUUCUUCAUUUAAUUUCCUGAUUUUUGUGAUUCAAUGUCAUAUUAUUGAUCUUGAAAUAUUUUUCUAAUUUUUCAUUCUACGAUGGUUUCAACAAGGAUGACAUCAAGUCAAAAAAGGAAAUGUGGUCCCACACACAAUAUUGCAUUACAGGGAUUAAGGUCAGGGAAGAAGGUAAAAGUUGCAUUUAAUGAGUACAAUCAAUUGGUUAAACAGAAAAAUGGAAAACACUUAUCGAGCUACAUAGGGACACUUGUAUCUAACCAACACAAUGUACCUCUCCAAGCUAGUGAUUGGAAAAAUGUUCCAAAUGAUGCAAAAGAGAAAGUAUGGCCUUUGUUUUGGUAUGUUGUAUUUCUCACUAUAUGAUGUCAUUUCACUGUUAUUCUAUUUUGUGACUAACGUUUGAAUCAUAUGUAAGAAAAAUUUGAAGUAGAUAAAGACUGAAAAGAUUACAUGUUGGGUAUAGCCUCAAAUAAAUAUAGAAGCUAUAAAAAUAUGAUGAAUGCAAAAUACUAUGACCCUUGGCAUAAGGAUGCAUGAGGAGAGGUUAAUACAUAAAUCACCAUUUGUCUCUGAUGUUGAUUGGAAGUGGCUUGUCUCUGAUGCAUAAACCAAAUCCCCCACUGAAUGUUUGAUAUUUGAUAGCAGGAAAAACACACCCGCAGCUAUACACCUCCAUCAUUCAGAUAAUUAUAGUGGGGGAGAUGAUUCAUGGUUGCCCUUAUACCCUUUAUUUGCACCAUCUAUUGAGAUUCUUUAUCAUGGCCAGGUUUUACUGCAGCAAUAAGAUAUGGUGGCAACAAUUUUAUCUAUAGGUGCGGUUCCAGACCGCCUCCAUAGGUGCGGUUCCUGACUGCCUCCAUAGGUGCCUCUUCUUGUAAUGUUUGUUCUGGGAAUUACACUUGAAAGCCUUAUCGUGAUAAGGGAUUACAAACACUAGUUCAGAGGACAGCCAUGUUAAACUUCCACUAUGUUUGUGUCACAUUAUCAGCAGCCUAGUGUUUAUUGGUCAUGCUAUCUGCAACUAAUAUAACCCGGUGAACUUCAAUCUAAAUUCUGAAAGUACUCAUGUGACAGAUGGUGCCUUUCAGCAGAUAUCAUCAAUUUAAAAGUAGUGUGUGUGCCUAUAGGUGGGAAGGCCUUGGCAAAUGUUCAGUAUUCCGGUAAUUCAAGAAGGAUAUAUCUAAAAUAGAUUUUCUUCUUGCCCAUUUCAAUAGUUAAAAUUUGAGAAGAUUGUGUCCACAUCACACAAAUAUUAUUGGUCCUUCUGUUGCAAUUUACCUCUGAACAUGUCUUCCAAUUCCCACGGUCCUGUUACUCCAGGAAAACUAUUUCGGUCAUAUUGAAAAAAAAAAUAUUAAAGAAGGUACACAUGCUUUUAAGUGGACUGGGGCAUUCAUAUCAGGUGGUCUGUAUCCACAUAUGCCACUUCGUGAAAGGUGGAACAGCCUAAUCACUAGGCUAUUUAGUGUGGCCCAGCCACGUUAAUCAAGCACAAGUCUUCAUACUUAAAGUCAAAUGGUGUCUUUAGUCUCAUUACACAUCGCUAUUUGAAGAUUAACUCAUCACUAGUGUAAUGCGAUUAAGACAGUCCUAACUCAAUAUUUGUUCUAGUUUUGGAUGCAAAUGCUUGCUGGUUUCAUCAUUGGAUGGGAUAAAGGUGCAAUCAGGACUAUGAAUACGUGCAGUAAUACUUCAUUCUCUUUUUUCUCAAUGAGACUUCUUGGCACAAUUUUGCUGCUCAGCAACCUACCUUUCCAUGGAAAAUCAGUUGUGACUGAUAGUAAUGGAUAUAUUCUAGAAAGCUAAACAUAGAUAGCAUUCAAUAUUAUCGAUAUAACAUUAACAGCGUAUGUCUCAAUGCUCAUCAGCUACAAGCAAUGGACAAACACUUUGAGUAACUCACAGCAGUCAAAAUUCCUAAACAGGACAGACGUGACAGAUCUAUAUAUAGAACACUGCAUAUGAGUCACAGGAAAAGAUAAUACGGGUACAUAGAAGCUCUUAUUUUACAUAUUACUCAUACUGAUCAAAGUCGCUCAGUUGGGAUGGAUGGGAGAAGGAGGUUUGAGGGGUGGCUUGUGCGGGGAAGUUGGCAGCUUCUUUCCGGGAGCUGGUUGCUUCUUUGCUGGAGUUGAAGGAGGCUUAAUCUUCCGAGGUGGCUUGUAUGAGUCUUCAGCAUUCUCAGCAGGAGGGUGACCAGGGUUGUGACCAUAAUGUGGUGGCUUCUCUCCCUUAGGUGGUUUGCCAACUGGGGUUGGUGGCUUGUUUUCUGGGAGUGGCUUCUCUCCCUUGGGUGGUUUGCCAACUGGGGUUGGUGGCUUGUGUUCUGGGAGUGGCUUCUCCCCCUUGGGAGGUUUUUCGAAUGGGGUGGGUUUGUGUCCUGGUGGUGGCUUCUCUCCCUUGGGAGGUUUACCAAUUGGGGUCGGUGGCUUGUGUUCUGGGAGGGGCUUCUCUCCCUGGGGAGGUUUAGUGGGUGGCUUGUGUUCUGGAGGUGGCUUCUCCACCGGAGGCUUAUGCUCUGGUGGUGGCUUCUCGAAGGGGGGAUGCUCAGGGUAAUCACCAAGUGAGGGGGUGGUGAGAACCACCAUGCCAAGCAACAACACUAGCAAGUAUGUAGUAGACAUCUUUGGGUUUGGACUCAGACAGUGCAAAACUACGAGAAAUCGCUAGCCCUUUAUAGCGGCUCGGACCUAAUACUGACAUAAUAUAAAAUAAAUAUUAUAUUUUAUCAAGAGAGAACAGAGUGUAAUUUUAUCAUUAAUACCGAUCGAGGCCAAAGAAAGAAGACCCAUAAUCCAUUUCCCACAAGCAUACACAAUGCAGCUGUAAUUUUAUCAUUUACUUUUAUCCCUUGGACCACUGCAUUUUUGUUGAGAGACACAAUAACACAUUUUUAUCUGUCAUUCAACAUUUACAGUAAAGAGAGGGCACAAAACGCAAUUAGAUAAAUUAUGUUUUGCCUGCUAAAAAGAGGCAAAUAACUUUAUUUGCAACAUAAUUAUUUUGGUUUCUAGUGACCCCGGGGCCUUUCGGUUGGUUUGGGAUCGGAAAAUGAACAUCAUAGGGGGGGUUGUGCCCUUAUGGGCAUAUAUAUCUGAUAGCUUCAACUGGCCUUGUUCCUAGAAAGAAAUUGCCAAAGAUAUAAACUUAUUCCAGGCUGAAAGUAGAUGAGAGUCAUAAUGAACAUCAACCUUUGUUCAGUUUGAUUCAAUGCCCCCAUAGUGUUCAUUUCACAGAUCUGAAUGAUUAUAUCCGUUGAAUACAUAAAUUAAUGAAGACAAAUAUGAAACCCAAGAUACAUCUCUGCAUAACAACCCCAACCCUGGUUGCUAUGUUUCCCUUCUUCUAUUCACAUGAGGAUACUGGUUAUAAUUGUCAAACUUGCAACAAGCCCUUUGACACCUAACGUCAAUGGACGAAUUAAAAGUCUCCUUCAAACGUCUAUUUCACAGCAUGAAGCUUAUAAAGGAUGCUGACAACCUUCAGAGUUAGCGACAAAAGAUAAUUAUCAAGGAGAGAUAGUUCCAUGAGAAUUCCAAGGAGUCUGAAUCAAAGACAAAUUGCUCACUCAAGGGUUCUUAUUUUCUUUUAGGUACAAAUCUCUUGAGUGUUGUUAAAGAAACACGUCACUGUCAUUUUGAUUUGCAUUUAACAUUUCACUUUUGUUCUGGAAGGUUUGUUCCGGAAACAUAUCAAAUGAGCAUCAUUUUCUUCUUCGGUGACACAUGGUCGCGAGUACGUGGGUCCAUUUUCAUGCCACUUAGUUGAAAAGUUGGAAAGAAAAAACAUGCCAACAAGAAGAUAGUGAGAGAAGGGGCACUUCAAGCCUUUAACAUGAACAAACAGUAAAUAAAAGAUGUUUCUCCACUCAUAAAAGUGUGUUAGAUAGCAAUAUAACGAAUCACAUCCAAAAUCUUUACUAGGCUCAAACAUAAAGAAGACUCAUUUUUAAGAAAAGAUAAAAAUGGCAUUGUCUGAUAGUAUCCAAUACACGAGAUGGCACUUAAUUUGUACAAGAUCUGUCAAUGCUGACGCACAUUUUCUGAUUAAAAAAAAACUGAUCAGUCAAAAGCAAUGAAGAGAAGUGAUGACAAUGAAUGAUGCUUCCAAUAUUUUCACCCCUUAUAGUGUUCUUCAUGAUUCAGAUAUAUAAUUGGAAAUAGAACAACCCUAUGCCAUACAUUCGUCUAAGUAUGGUGUCUAAUUUUUUGUGUCAGCGGUUGCGAAUGGAGCGUGCAAAAGUCCAAAUUGGCGUCUCUCCAUUUCCACAUAGGAAGGUGACCUUUAUUGACAAAUACCCAAUAUUUGUAGACAUUCCUUAAAUAUCAUAACUUCUUGUUGAUUUGAAAAUCAUUUUUCAACUACCAUGUUUUAAUAAAUAUUUUUUAAAAUGUAUUUUUAUCAAAGUCCACCAUGAUGGAUAAUAUUCACCAUGCAAUAAUUAAUAAAGUACAAACUAAGCGAAAUGAAAAGCAUUUUCUUUGCUUUGAGUUGAUUUUGGUUGCAUUGAGUUGAUUUUGGUUUCAUGGUUUUUUCAACUCUUAUUUUGAUUGGAAGAUGUCAAGAAAAGAAAACAUAAAGAAAAAUUAAAAGGGAAAAAAGAAGAAAAAUAAAAAAAAAUAGAUUUAAAAGUUAAUAAAUUAUUUUUUAUAUUUAUUUUAAUUCAUUUCACUUAUUUUUCUUUUACUAUAUAAAAUUUAAAUAAUUUAAAUUUUAUAAUUAAUUUAAUUACAUUUCAUUUUCUUCUAUAUUUAAAUAUUGGAAAAAUAUUUUACUUAAUAUUUUUUUCUUUAAUUUCUUUGGCAUUUUGGGAACCAAACUUAGCCUUUAAAAUAAAAAACAAAAAAAAAAUGAAAAUAAGGAGGGAAAAGUGAGAAAAGAUAAAAACAAUAUGUAAAGGAUUUGAAAAGUAUUAGUUUGUAAUUACUAUUUGGAUUUCAAUAGUAUUUUAUUUGUCUUUCUAUAUUUCAUGUAAGAGAGAAUUUAAGAUAUUCCCCAAGGCAAAGCAUUAGUUACCUGCAAUCAGUGGUGAUAAGGCUCCAAGCCAAUUUUGGGCCCCAUAUCUUAAGACAGUACAAUUUCCAUUUCAACAUUUCUGAUUUCUCAGAUGUUUCACAUACCACAGAAGAACAUUGUUUGUGAAAAUAUGCAUUUAUGUUGGAUUUUGUAUGCUGUGGGGACUGGGGCAAGGAUCAUAUGGAAGAGUGGUUGACUUUUUCUGUACUUUAACGGUUGAAAUAGGAUAAGCACGGGCAUUUGUGAGGCUUAAUUGAUUUUGAAGCCUGAAAUUGCGUUUCUGUCAUUUUGUCAAAAAAAUGGCAGAUUCCAUACUCAUAUGUUUGGCCUGUGGCCAUGUACAGAUGCCAUUUAGUGACCAGUUUGUAACUGUCAAUCGUUGCGUUUUGACUCUGCCUCAACAACAUCUGCCAUUGACGGGUUUUCAUACUUGCAAAUCAAAUAGUCUUUCGUCCCAUCAGGAAUUUCGGUUUAAAUAUUAUUAAGCAUACGUUUGGCUGACAAUCAUUAUCCAGUUCAUGAUUUGGUUUCUUACCCUUAAUCAAUGGUUUCUAAGUGAAUAUAUGUAGAAGGAAAUCCGAAGUGUAGACAGUAGUAUCGAUAACUCUCAAUAUUCUCUAUAUAAUAGAAUAAACAGCGUCAUAGUGAUCGUCGCCUACAAGCAAGGUACAAAUACCAAAACGAGUGACUCACAUAGACAUCUCCCAACAAGAUGUAGUAGUGACUGACACAUGGACACAAUUAACUCGUAGAAAAGGAUAAGACCAUUGCACAGCAGCUCUUAUUUUACAUACUACUUAUGCUAACCAAAGUCAAUUAGUUGGGAUGGGUGGGAGAUGGAGGUUUGUGCGGUGGCUUGUGGGGCGGAGUUGAUGGCUUCUUUCCAGGAGCUUCUGGCUUUUUCAUCGGAGCUGAAGGAGGCUCAAUCUUAUGAGGCGGCUUGUAUGAGUCUUCUUUACUCUCGACAGGAGGGUGGCCAGGGUUGUGAUCAUAAUGUGGUGGCUUCUCUCCCUUAGGUGGCUUGCCAACUGGGGUUGGUGGCUUGUGUUCAGGAAGUGGUUUCUCUCCCAUGGGAGGUUUAGCAAUUGGGGUUGGUGGCUUGUGUUCUGGGAGUGGCUUCUCUCCCUUGGGAGGUUUAGUAGGUGACUUGUGUUCUGGAGGUGGCUUCUCCACCGGAGGCUUGUGCUCCGGUGGUGGCUUCUUGGUUGGAGGGGGCUUGGGGUAAUCAGCAAGAGAUGGGGUGGUGAGAACCACCAGUCCAAGGAACAACACUAGCAAGUAUGUGGGAGACAUUUUUGAGUUUGGGCUGAUCAGAUGAUGCAAAACUAAAGCAUUACGUGACCUUUUAUAGCAUGUAGCUCCCAAUACCCACUAAGUAUUGUGGGGUCCAUUUGUGCCCUACGGGGUUGAAAACUUAGACAAUUGGGCAAGGACCCACCUGACUAUGGAGGACUAGUGAGGUGUGAUCAUAGCUUUAGGAUUUUUCUUCCUCUGCAGCCGUCGUGCCGUUGGCAUGAUUUUCUUAAUCUUAAAUAAAGGCAUAGUUAUAGAGUUGUUUAAUCUCUAAAUGGGAUUUUAUAUAUAUCUUCAGAUAGCCAUUAAUAUAUUUGAUGAAGAAAGAAAGACAAGUGCAUACAACAUGUAUACGACUAGCUUUCAUGGAGUUCAUUUAUGAUCAGUUUUCCUGUACAUGUAAACCAGGAUCAUAUAUAUGUUUCUGUUCCACAACUAUUUUGGAAUCUUGUUUAUCAGUUUUUAUCAUUAUAAUGUCACAUAGGCUGCCAACUUGGGCGCUAAAAGAACCAGUUGGGCUAGUUCGUUUCAGAAUUUCAAUGUGGAUUCAGGAAUUGUUUUGUAAGAUAUGCGAAAUAGUAGAGGGAUGAAUAGUGUUUCAUUAAUAAAAGUGUCCUGUAAAUUAGAAGGUGUCAUAGAAACUAUAAUCAAUAAAUAACUUUUUUUCCCCACGGGUGGUGUUUCUUGUGGGGAUCAGUGACUGGUUUAGGUUCACCCAAAAUGAGUUCAGACUAAAAUUGGUUUGAGUCAAUGCCGUGUCUCUUUUUUCCAGAAAUCAACUAUUUUAUGCAUUGAAUAAAUCAUACAAAGAAAAUAUGAACGCCCGCAAAACCUAAACCCUGGUUGCUAACUUUCUAUGUUUCAGUUCUAUUCACGCAAGAAUAUUAGUUUAAGUUUGGGAAAAAUGGCAACUUACCUAGUGAUUACUUGGUUUUGGUUUGCGACUAUUUACGCAACCAACCAUGAGUUUGACUUUAACGUCAUGGGUUGAAGCCUCCUACAGGAAGGGAGAAAGCUCCACAGCUAGCUCCAAAAGAGAAUUAUCACAUUGAUAGCUCCAGAGAUUCCCAAGGGGACUGAAUCAAAGACAAGUUCCUCACUUUUUCUUCUUUUGAGGCCAAAUAUGAACCAAGGAUCACACAACCUCAUUCAACUUCAUAAGUUUGAUUUCAUGCAGUUGAACACUGGGUGAAGGCCAUGACAAGAAUUGAUUCAAAAAUUCUAUCACUCUUUUAAGUAAUGGAAGAUUAUUAUCUCUGAUUGGCAUCACAACAGCACAUGCUCCUAGAUCUUUCUAGACACUCCAUGCAAUGAAAGCACAAUGGAUCUUGUAACGAUAGAAACUAAGCCAUGCUACAGUACUAGAUGAUGAGGUAAAACUAGUAGACACGGGUGGCAGCCUAUAUGGGAGGGACACAAGUCUAAUUGAUUUGCAUUUCAGCAUUAUAGAUAGGUAUGUUUUGGAAGAUUUGUUCUGGAAAUACCGCACCAAGUAGGAUUCUUUUUCUCUUUAGUGGGUCCACUUGCAUGCCAAUUAACGAGUUGAAAAGUAUGAGCACCUACCUCGUGCUCGUGGAACCGAAGGUCAGUGAAGUGGGGCUCCUUUUGGCCUCGUGUAAACUUGAUUCAGAAGUGAAGUUAAUAGUCUUCCAUUCAGAUGGAUACAUGGGAAUUUUUCUCUUUUAUUUAUUUAUUUAUUUUUUUUUUGUGUGUGUAUGUCAAAGGAUAAUGAAUGAAGCGCGUUAGCUUGUUUUCUGACUGGAACCGCAGAUGUCCAAAUUGGAGUUCCUUCAUUUCUUACUUAGGAUUGUUACAUGUAUAAACAAGGUAUAAGAAAUAUGCCAACGUGUCUUGAGGAGUUAUUGAUUAGAAAUAACAAGUCACCCGACUGUAGAGUUCCAAGAUUUGAAUCUUCAGACCCUAUAGCAGCCUCUGGGGUACGUGGCAUCCUAUAGCAUAUUAAUGAAGGCUUUUUCGAUUUAGACUUCACAAUACCAAUUAAUAUGUAUGCACAAAAUGGAGAUGACCCCAAAAAAAACAGAAUCGCCAUAGUUUAUGAGGUUAAGGUGAUUCUCCACUUAAUAUCUACAUUAGCUAAUUAUGUAAAUCAAAUGAACUUCUAUUUUUCCUUUUUUUUUUUGGUUUAUGUCAAAUAGUAGCCCAUAAUUAACCCAACCAUUAGCCUGUUUGAAUUGAUUUCACAUGCACAAUGUUGUAGUAGUUCAUAUUUUGAAUUUUAUUUUUACAAAGGUAGUUAAGGAAAAUGAAGUAUAAUAAUUAUAAAAGCAGACUAUAUACACUACAAUAAUUGUUAGAAUGGUAUCUCAAAUUCUAAUUUAAAAUAUUAUUUUUUGUAAAAGAAAUAUUAUAUAGAAUAUUUCCUAAUUUUAUAAAUGAUUAUAAUUAGAUCUUUAUAAAAUAAGGAAAGUUGGUAAGAAUAUCUUUAUAAAUAUUUUAGGUCAUGAGAGAAAGAAAUGGGAUAAAAAUGUGAUGAAGAGGUGAAAUAAGAGAGUUGAUUAGGAUAUAGAUGUGAAGAAGAAAGGGAUUCAAUAUAUAUAUAUCUUUCAAUUACCACAUUAAAACCCUGUGAACCUUUUAUAUGGUUUACUUUAUUUUUAUAUUCCUCCUUUAAUAUAUUUACAUUAAUGCUUCCAUUGGCACAACAAUAACGAAUUACAAAUACAAGCAACAAGUCCCAUGUUUUAUUACCAAAAGCAGGUAAAAUCCACCUAAUAUAUUACAAUAUAUUCAUCCAAUAUUUUAGACCAAUUCUUCACCAUAAAUAUCAUAAUGUGGCUUUUGUUCUUUCUUAAAUUUAAAUUGAAUUGUCUUAUAUCAAUUUGUUUGUGAUUUUUUCAUUAACUUCACUUUCAUUUGGUUAUCUUUGGUUUUUGAAAAGUAUUAAGGAAUUAAUUAACAAAAUAAUGUUAAGAAAAAUAAUUUUCUCUCUUUUGAUUUUGAUUUUGUAGUAGAAAAAUAUAAUUAAAAUUAUUUAAAAAGUAUGUAAUUUUAAAUUAUUUAAUAUUUAGAUAAAAAAAAUAAGUCUAAUGAGUUUAAAAUAACAUAUAAAAAUAAUUUAUUUAUUUUAAAUUUAUUUUUUAUUUUCCAUUAUGUUCUCUUUCUCUUUUACUUUUUCAUAUUUUUUCUUACGAAGAAUCAAACACAACCUCAUAUUAUAUGUCAAGUGUUUGUCUAUAUUUGAGCAAUGUUAGAUACGGCCAUGGAUUCAUCAAACUAAACUGAUUUUAAUAGAUACUUCACAAAUUGAUUUAUACACUAAAUCAUUGGAUAGCAAUGAUGCAUUGGAAUUAAACGUAGGAUGAAGCUCGAAGAACACUGUUUGUGUAACAACAUAUUUAUGAAAUUAUGCAAAGGAUGAGCUUCGGGGUAGUAGUACAAGGUCAUUAAUGGAGAGCCGUGUUAAACCUUGAUUGUGAUUGGAUUCCGUUAUCAGCAACAGCAACCUUGUUUGUAACCUUGAAAGUCAUUCUGUCCACAUCGAAACUCCAAUUUGACGUUUGUAAUUACCAUUCCUGGAGUGUUCCUUGAUUGAAAUUUAAAUAAUAAUUGCGGCCCACAAGGAAUAUUUUCGAUUCUGUGGGAAUUUGACAAGGUUUGUUAGAGAAGACUGGUGACAUGUUGACUUCAAUGGUUCAAAUAGGAGACGUAUGUGGAUUUGGGGGGUUUAAUUGAAACUGAGUCCCUAUGGCUUUUUAAUAUUUGCAUUGAGCAGUCUCCAUGUGACUUCCUAAUUCCCACCAACCCUCCUGUCCAUGCUGUGAAACUAAAUUGUAAUUUAUCAGCCUUUGUCAAUGGUUUCUAAAUUAAAGAUAUAGACCAUGCAUGUACUUUAAUAAAAGCAAAUCUAAAGUGUAGAUAGCAGCAAUGGUGACACCCAAUAUUCUCCAUAAAAUAGAAUUAGAAUAAGCAGUGUUACAUUGUUCAUGAUCACCUACAAGCAUACAAGAACUUCCAUGAAUAACUCAUAGCAAUUGCCAACAGGGCGUCGUAGAGACUCAUACAUAGAACACUAUCCACCCAGAGGAAAGGACAAGACCAGUGCGCUGCAGCUCUUAUUUUUCACAUGUAUACCACCACUCGUAAUAACCAAAUUCACUCAGUUGGGAUAGGUGGGAGAUGGUGGUUUGUGGGGUGGCUUGUGGGGAGGAGUUGGAGGAGGCUUUAUUUUCUGAGGCGGCUUGUAUGAGUGUGCAGGAGGAUGCCCGGGAGUGUGACCAUAAUGUGGUGGCUUCUCUCCCGUAGGUGGUUUGCCAAAUGGGCUUGGUGGCUUCUCUCCCUUAGGAGGUUUACCAAUUGGGGUUGGUGGCUUGUGUUCUGGGAGUGGUUUCUCUCCCUUGGUAGGUUUGCCAAUUGGGGUUGGCGGCUUAUGUUCUGGGAGUGGCUUCUCUCCCUUGGGAGGUUUGCUAAUUGGGGUUGGCGGCUUAUGUUCUGGGGGCGGCUUCUCUCCCUUGGGAGGUUUGCCAAUUGGAGUUGGCGGCUUAUGUUCUGGGAGUGGCUUUUCUCCCUUGGGAGGCUUGCCAAUUGGGGUUGGCGGCUUAUGUUCUGGGGGUGGCUUCUCUCCUUUAGGAGGUUUGCCAAUUGGAGUCGGCGGCUUAUGUUCUGGAAGUGGCUUUUUUCCCUUGGGAGGUUUGCCAAUUGGGGUUGGCGGCUUAUGUUCUGGGGGUGGCUUCUCUCCCUUGGGAGGUUUGCCAAUUGGAGUCGGCGGCUUAUGUUCUGGGAGUGGCUUCUCUCCCUUGGGAGGUUUUGUUGGUGGCUUGUGUUCUGGAGAUGGCUUCUCCCCUGGAGGCUUGUGCUCCGGAGGUGGCUUCUGAAAUGGCGGGGGCUUGGGGUAAUGAGCAAGAGAUGGAGUACUGGUGAGAACCACCAUUCCAAGCAACAAUACUAGCAAGCAUGUGGGAGACAUCUUUGAGUAGUUGUAGCUAAGAUGGCGCAACACUGUAGGCAUUGGGUGGCCUUUUAUAAAGGGCUGGACCCAACAGCCAUAUGACACGUGUCAUGAUGACAAAUGAAGUUGAGGGGAUCCAGAUGGGUCCUACUGAGUCGAAAACUUGCACUAAUUGAUCUGGUGAGAUGACUAUUUCUGUCCUUUUGCCCUUCUCGGCCACCCUGUGCUGUUUUCCUUUUGCACGAUUUUCGUUGCCAAACAAGCAAAUAAUAUUUCGCCAAGAAAGAGGAGAGUGAAUGUGGAAUGCAUCAAGUCCCAUCAAGGAUGGCAGAGAAGAAAUAGAAGAUUGCCCAACUGUGAUAAACAUAGCAUACACGUAGCACCAGGAACUUCAUUUACUUCCAUCUAAUGGAACAUAACAAUCUUCUAAAGUUUUUGCAUGAUUUUGUUAUAUGUCUCUUAGCCUAAAGUUGGAAAUGCGCAACAAAUUUUGUCACUUCUCUAUUUCCCACUGAUGAUGUUAAUUAGCCUUCAUAGAUAUCAUCCUUUCUACAAAGUGCUUCAUUUGUGUGUUAUUGUAAAGUGUAAGAAAAGUAAUUGAACAUGUUCUUUUUCCUUUCAUAGAUGACUUUUGAUGUGCAUUUUAAAAGCAGCGCUGUGAGUCGGUGACCUUGAUUCACACGGAAACUAAGGCUCCUAUAGGACCCACUUUUAGCUGGUUAGGGGUGAAGAAAAUAUCAACUUUUCAGAGUGAUUUAAGUCAAGGCCAAGCCUCACUGUGUCAUUACUCGUGUGAAUUUUAUAUGCACAUACAUACAUAAAUAAAGUAUGAGACCCAAAUAACACCUUCCCUUUACAAACUUAACCCCAGCCGCUCUCUUUCAAUUCUUUUCACACAAGGGUAUUGACUCUAUAAAGGUCAAGAAAAUCAUAAUUUCCUAGGGUUUACAAGGUAAUUGGCUUAAUGCUAAUGUGAAAACAUAAAAGAUAAUAGUAUAUUGUAAGCUAACGAAUAUUCUAUAGUUAUAAUUAUUUGUGAUGUGCAUAAAUAAAUCUUCAUAUAUAUAAUGGAACAAUGAAUAAAGAACCAAUGAAAAAAUACUAUAUAUCAUUGCUUGGCAUUUAAACCGUAUAUGCUGCUCUUUCUAGCUACUCCAUCCACUGAAAGACAACAAGGUAAUCCAUGUUAUAAUGAUAGAAGAUACUGUCUCUAGGCUUUUUGUGAUGAAAAAUAUAAGAUAUGGGUAGGGUUGACCCUUGUAUGUUUGUCCUAUAAACACUUCAAAGUAACAUAUUUUUCUUCUUUAGCAACUCAUAAUGAUGGGGUUCAUUUGCAUGUCACUGAGUUGAAAAGUUGGACAAUUGCCCAUGUCGCCUUCCUCCUAGAUUCCGUAGUUCACGGGAAGGUAACUCAAGUUUGACAUAUUUUGAAUUCUUUUCACUCGGACGUCUUCAUAACCUGACAAAACAAAAAUGAAAAACAGAGGAUUGGUAUAUUAUUCAUGGUAAGCCUCAAAUUAUAGUAGUAUGAGAAAGGAGAAAAAGAUUUUGGGAACUCCAAUCUGGAUAAUUCUCGUUUCUUCUCUUGAAUAAAAAUUUCACUUACCUAACUUCGUUUGGAGAAAUGGCAUAUUUUAAUUUUGUACGUCAUUGCUAAUAAAUGGAGCAAUUUAGCAUGUUUUGUGACUGAAACUGCAAAUGUCCAAUUGGCAUUUCUUCAUUUCCCACUUAGGAUCUGAUCUUGUAGACCAUAUAACGAUAUGUAUCUGUGCAAGCAUUGAAAACUAAUGUGAACUAUGAGGAGUUACAAGCCACUGGACUGUAGAGCGAGUGCCAAGAUUUAAAUCUUCAGGCUCUAUCUGGGUAAGGGGAGGAUAGCGACCUAACCUUUUACCAAAGGCUUAGAAUUUAGACUUUUGGAAAAAAAUUUCUCAUGUUUUGGCUGGAUUUCUUGUGCUUGGCGCAAAAAGGAGAUGGCCUCAAGAAAUAGCAGACUCACUUUUGUUUUCAGCCCUUAAUAAUUCUCCACUGCUUUCCAUAACUACAUGGGUUAUACAUGCAGUCUGCUGCAAUAUUCCAGUUAUAUUUAUUAUUUCAAAGAGGGUGAAUGACUUCACAUGCAAUAUGUUGCAGUAACAACCCAAAUUUUGGCACACCAUCUUAAGAAUAGAAAAGUAUAAUAAAAGAAAUCAAUCAGAGAAUCACUUUGCAUGCAGUUCAUAGAGUUCGCCCAAAAUGGAGCCACAUGUACGGACAACCCCACAAUAGACAAUCUUCUCUAUACAGUAAUAAAAUACAGAAAUGGUUAAUGAAGCUCUGUAUUUCCUUAUCAUAUAUGACCGGUUGAAAACUCAGCAAGUCUUCCUCAAUCACAGACAGUUGGAGUUGCUUCAUCAAAAUCAUGCCUUCAUUACUGGCUUCAUUUUGGUUUCAAUGUCUGUUCUACCCUUAAAUUGGGUCUCUGCUUACUACCGGGAUAUCCUUUAGCGUCCUGCAAUUCUACUAGAUUAAAGAGAAUGACUUAAUUCUGCAUUCUGCCGUCCCUAGUCCAAGUGGUACUAGAAUUGAUGUUUCCUUUAGUGUCCUUUCUUCAUACUUUCAGGUUCUUCCCUUGUUUCAAUAAUGCUGUUUUCCUUCAUGUUUAACCUCUGUUGAACCACUUAAAACAACACAAUUUGCACACCAAUGUUUCUUUACAGAAAAGACUGUUUGCAAAAAUGCACAUGUUAUAAGGUUAAUGGAAGAAUUAAUUUGGGGAUAAGGGACUAGGAUUGGGCCAAUGAAGUUUGGUGUUAAAUUUUGAUUAUGAUUGCUUUUCAUUAUCAGGUACCUUAUAUUUGCUGAUGCUAUCUGGAACUAAAUUCAAAUCAGACAUUAUCCGAUUACUAACAGGACAUAUCAUGUCCCUCUGCAGAGUUUCUAAACUAACAUGUAUCGAAAUGUGGCCCCAAAAGGAAGGCUAGGAAGAUGGAGGAUUUUGUAGGAAUCGACCAGAAUCAGAUGGAAGAGAGAUAGUCCUGUUGACUUUAAUGGUUGUGAUAGGAACAUGCAUCAUUAUAUGAGAAGUUGCAUGAAUUUAUGUAUCCUGUUAUCGUUCCUUGACGAUUUCCCAAUGCAAUUUCACUGUCCACAAGACUAACCUCUCCAUGCAGUCAAAUGAAUUGUAAUUUCUCUAUUGGUACCAGUAGUACAUUUCAUACCAAACAUAUAGUAAAUAUAAAAUAUAAAUAGAUCAAGGAAAUCUGAAUUGUAGAUAGCACUGCAAGUAACACUCAAUAUUCUCUAUAUAUAAUAAAAUAAACAGUGUCACAAUACUCAUCACCCAGUGGCAAGGGAGAAAAACCUACAAUGAGUACUCAAAUCACCAUUCUCAAACAGAAACAUAGCAGUGACUGAUACAUAGAACCUAUAUGCUCACAGGGAAAGAAUAAGAUGACCAGUGCACAGCGGGCAGCAGCUCUUAUUUUACGUACAACUCAAAUCCCAAACUAACCAAAGUCGCUCAGUUGGGAUGGGUGGGAGAUGGUGGUUUGUGGGAUGGCUUCUGGGUAGGAGCUGGUGGCUUCUGUCCCUUUGGUGGUUUGCCUAAUGAGCUUGGUGGCUUGUGCUCCGGGAGUUGUUUCUCUCCCUCGAGUAGGUUUCGAGUCUUGUCAGAUGGCUUGUGUUCUGGUGGUGGCUUCUCUCCCUGGGGUGGUUUGCCGAAUGGGCUUGGUGGCUUGUGUUCGGGGAGUGGCUUCUCUCCCUGGAGAAGGUUACGAGUUUUGUCAUAUGGCUUUUGUUCUGGUGGUGGCUUCUCUCCCUGGGGUGGUUUGCCGAAUGGGCUUGGUGGCUUGUGUUCGGGGAGUGGCUUCUCUCCCUGGAGAAGGUUACGAGUUUUGUCAGAUGGCUUGUGUUCUGGUGGUGGCUUCUCUCCCUGGGGUGGUUUGCCGAAUGGGCUUGGUGGCUUGUGUUCGGGGAGUGGCUUCUCUCCCUGGAGAAGGUUACGAGUUUUGUCAGAUGGCUUUUGUUCUGGUGGCGGCUUCUCUCCCUGGGGUGGUUUGCCAAAUGGGCUUGGUGGCUUGUGUUCGGGAACUGGCUUCUCUCCCUUGGGAGGUUCAGUUGGUGGCUGCUGUUCCGUAGGUGGUUUCUUCACCGGCGGCUUGUGCUCCGGAAGCGGCUUCUCUACCUGGAGAAGCUUACGAGUUUUGUCCGAUGGCUUGUGUUGUGGUGGUGGCUUCUCUCCCUGGGGUGGUUUGCCAAAUGGAGUUGGUGGCUUGUGUUCGGGGAGUGGCUUCUCUCCAUUGGGAGGUUUAGUUGGUGAUUGGUGUUCCGUAGGUGGUUUCUGAAGUGGGGGAUGCUUGGGGUAGUCAGCAAGAGACGAGGUAGUGAGAACCACCAGUCCCAGCAGCAACACUAGCAAGCAUGUGGAAGACAUCUUUGAGUUCAGGCUGAGAUCUGUGCAAGGAUAACAGAAUUAGGUGGCCUUUUAUAGAGGCCUGGACCCAACACCCAUAUGACACGUGUCAUGCACUCAUGGUGACACAUAAUUCUAUGGGACCAUUUGGGUCCUACAGAAGUUGCAAAGUUGGACUACUGAGGUGUGAUCACAACUUUUGUCCUUAUUGCUUUCUCUGCGGCCAUUGCACGAUUUCCUUUAGCAUCAUUUUCUUGGCUAAAUAAGCGUAUUAUAUUUGUGGCAGACCGUCCACGUGUCAUAAACAGAUAUAUUAUAAUAAUGUAGUAUGCUUUUCUCCAAUGGAACAUGACACUCUUCUAAGUCUUGUUUUAAAUAUUGUGCAGGAUUACUUUAUACGUUGCAGUUCCAAGUCAAAAUUGGUGGGCAAACGUUGGCCUUUUUUCAUUUCACCUAAGAUUAAUGCUCACCUGGGAUAGGCACUACAUGACUUAUCUGCUCUUUUACUGUAAAGUUGCUUUGUGUAUGAGAUACACCUCCCCUGCACACCCUCAACAUUCGUUGCUCUGUUUUCCUUGUGUCCAGACGAGGAUAUUAAUUGGAGGCUGACAAAACGACUGCUAGCCCAGGAUUUACAAGGUCCUGGUUUGAGGCUUCGGUGAAAGUAUUUUUGAAAAGACACACAUAGAGAUAGUGCGUUUGGUGCAAUGCAGCACUGUGAGCCAUUCUGACGCGUUCUUAAUUUCAAAACUAAUGAAUGCUUCAAAAUUUUAAGAAGUGACAUUUCCAAAUAUUUGAGUUCGUUUAAUUGAACAUUGGAUAACUAGUGAUCAUAGAUUAUUAUCUGUGCUUGGCACUAUAAGAGGGUAUAUGCUUCUUUUUCUGGCCCCUCCUUCAAGGGAGGAGGGACAAUGUGAUCUGUAACGUUAGAAGCUAUUCCAUGUCAUCUUUGGGCUCAGUUCAAAACUAAAAGAUAAUGGGGGGGGGGGGGGGGGGCAUAUCAUUUUAUAUUUCUUCUAGAAGGUUUGUUCUGGAAAUAUUUCACAGGAGCAUAUCUUUUUCUUCUAUUACGUCAUCCGCAGCCUCCAAUAGGUCGGUUAACAAGCCACCGAGUUGAAAAGUUGGAAAAAUGGGAACACAGCCCGCCUCUUGUAUUCAGUAGUUAAAUAAAAGGUCACUAGAAGUGAGAUCCCUUUUGGCGUCUUGAUUUUCAAUCCAGCACCUCUGUGACCUGACAAACCAAAAAAACUAAAAAAUAAAAAACAGUACGUGGGUUGGUGUUAAGCAUCAAGACAUGUUAAUGAAAGAAGGUAGAGAAUAGGAUAUUGAAAUCCCAAUCCUGAUAACAUGAUUUUCUUUGCUAACAACCAUAUUAUAUUUUAUCAAGAAAGAGUAAUGCAUGUGGCGUCCAUCAAGACCCAUUAGAGUUCCGCUAAAGCUAUAGUUCUGUCAACGUUAUCAUUUACGUUUCCUCUAGAUAAUGGCAUUUUCCUCUAAAGCUCUUGCACCAUUAGGCUUCAAGUCAAAAUUUCACAUGUGAACUUUGGAAAUUUUCUCCAUUUGCCCCUAAGGAUACAGUUAGAAUUGACUUAAAAUCCUGAUUGAUAUGUACUAUUAACCAAAGAAUAUUGUAUAUAAUAAUUGAAAUAUUGUUGAUUCAUCGUGGAAAUACAUUUUGUAAGGAAAGUUGUUGAGAAUUUAGUAUGCUAUAUGGAGAAAAAAGUCAUGACUUAAGGUUGUGUAUGUAUAUUCUAUAUCAAAUAUUAGGUAGGAAUGUGGGAAAGAGCAGAGUGUAAUGAUAAGAAACAAAGAAAUAUAAGAUAUUCUUGAAAGUGGAAAAUAUAAAAUGGCUAACGAGUCAAAUUUAUGAUGCGUAAGGGGGAUCAUGUCACAUAAGAAAACCAUGGCAUACUAAAGACGUACGUGUGGUAUGGAGUAAUAAUUUUGUUAAAAUAAGUUUCUUGUUGGAGUACAUUAGGUGACUAUUCAUAACGUAUCAAAUUAAAGAGUCAAGUGCAUCAAUGAAGGCAUAUGUAGAAAAUUUGUUUGUGACAUGUACCAUAAAGAUAAGAUUGACUUGAUAGAAUUUAGUCUAAGUAGGAGUUGUUAAAGGUGUCUUAAAUUUCUAAUUGAUGUAUAUUUUUUUCUAAAAAAAUAUUAUAUAGAUAUUUUAAUAAAUGAUUAAUUCUUUGUAAAAAUACUUACAUAAUAAAAAACAUCAUUAAAAAUAUCUUUAUAAAUAUUUUAAGUUACAAGAAGGAAAAAAACCACUGUGAGAUAAUGAUGAACAUGCAACACUGUACCAAGUAAAUAAAAAUGUGAUAAAAAAAAAAGAGAAACACUCGAUAAAGGAAGGCUCGUAUAUAAAGAGUAAUAUUUUUAAUCAUAUGAUAGAAUGAUUUUCUCUCAUUCAUGAAUAUAGGCAAGAUUGGGGAACCAUUAUAAAAUUUUGUACACCUCGUGUAAAUUGAUGUUUGUCUUCAUAUUUUACACCAACAAAUGACAUUGAAGUUGUCAUUGAUAAAAGGGAAAAGGCAUGCCUCCACACCAUGUGCUUGAUUCGAAUGGUUCAAGUUUGAAGAAUUUUCUCCGGAAGAUCUAAAACAUUUUCGCCUUUAAAUUUCAUUUGAUUAUUAAUAUCCGAAAAAAUAGUUAAAUACUCUUUCUAUUUUUGAGUUGUUGAAUUUUUUGAAAGUUUUUAUAUUUGUUAUCAAGAAUUUCUAUUUUAUUAAGGGUGAAUAUUUAUAAAUAAGAUAUUAUAUAAUAUUUGGAUAAGAGAGAAUGGUGGAAUAUAAUAAAGUUUUAAUCCUUCCCAAUUUUGAACCUUUUUUUUUUUUUUUGAUAUAAUCGCCUUUCUCUUGCAAUCCUAUUAUCAGGUACCUUAUAUUUGCUGAUGCUAUCUGGAACUAAAUUCCAAUCAGGCAUUGUCCAAUUACUAAUAGGACAGAUCAUAUCUCUCUGUUUCUAAACUAACAUGUAUCGUAAUGUGACCUCAUAAGGAAGGCUAGGAAGAUGGAGGAUUUUGUGGGAAGCGACCAGAAUCAGAUGGAAGAGAGAUAGCCCUGUUGACCUAAUGGCUGUAAUAGGAGAAGCGUGUGGUUUUAUGGGACUUAACUGAUACUAAACCUGUAUGAUGCUUGGAGUGGUGUUUCUUUCAUUUUGUUAAGAAAAUAUGGCAGCAUACAUGCUUUCAACUGAGUGCAUCAGAGCAUCCAUAACAGAUGGUCUGCAACCCUAGGUGCAUGCCACUUUCUGACUGAUAAUGAAAUUGUCAGGUACCUGGCCUUGACUAAGCUCAACAGCAUCACAUAAAGAGAAGCUUUCAUACUUAGAUUACUGUUUAAAGUUUUUGCUUAUUUGAUUUCUUAAUGCCAUUAUGACAUUAUUGAUUCAAUUCUGCUUCCGAUUUUCGAAGUUCUGGGCAUCUACUGAUUGCAUCAUUAUAUGAGAAGUUGCAUGAGUUUAUGUAUCCUGUUAUUGUUCCUUUGCGAUUUCACUGCUCACGGGACUAACCUCUCCAUUCAGUCGAAAUGAAUUGUAAUUUCUUUACUGGUAGCAGUAGUACUUUUCAUAGCAAAGAUAAUAGAAAAUAUGAAAUAUAAAUAGAAGGAAAUCUGGAUUGUAGAUAGCACCAUAAGUAACACUCAAUAUUCACUACAUAAUAAAUAGACAGUGUUACAUAGGUAGAGAAACCUACAAUGAGUACUCAUCACCAUUCUCAAACAGAAACAUAGCAGCGACUUAUACAUAGAACCUAUAGGCUCGCAGGGAAAGAGUAACAUGAUAAGUUCACAGCGGGUAGCAGCUCUUAUUUUACGUAUUACUCAAAAUCUCAAACUAACCAAAGUCACUCAGUUGGGAUGGGUAGGAGAUGGUGGUUUGUGGGGUGGCUUCUGGGUAGGAGCUGGUGGCUUCUUUGUUGGAGUUGAAGGAGGCAUAUUCUUCUGAGGUGGCUUGUAUGACUCUUCGGCACUCUCUGCAGGAGGGUGCCCAGGGUUGUGACCAGAAGGAGGUGGCUUCUGUCCCUUUGGUGGUUUGCCUAAUGGGCUUGGUGGCUUGUGCUCCGGGAGUUGUUUCUCUCCCUCGAGUAGGUUUCGAGUUUUGUCAGAUGGCUUGUGUUCUGGUGGUGGCUUCUCUCCCUGGGGUGGUUUGCCGAAUGGGCUUGGUGGCUUGUGUUCGGGGAGUGGCUUCUCUCCCUGGAGAAGGUUACGAGUUUUGUCAGAUGGCUUUUGUUCUGGUGGCGGCUUCUCUCCCUGGGGUGGUUUGCCAAAUGGGCUUGGUGGCUUGUGUUCGGGAACUGGCUUCUCUCCCUUGGGAGGUUCAUUUGGUGGCUGGUGUUCCGUAGGUGGUUCCUUCACCGGCGGCUUGUGCUCCGGAAGCGGCUUCUCUACCUGGAGAAGCUUACGAGUUUUGUCAGAUGGCUUGUGUUGUGGUGGUGGCUUCUCUCCCGGGGGUGGUUUGCCAAAUGGACUUGGUGGCUUGUGUUCGGGGAGUGGCUUCUCUCCAUGGGGAGGUUUAGUUGGUGGUUGGUGUUGCGUAGGUGGUUUCUGAAGUGGGGGAUGCUUGGGGUAGUCAGCAAUAGACGAGGUAGUGAGAACCACCAGUCCCAACAGCAACACUAGCAAGGAUGUUGAAGACAUCUUUGAGUUCAGGCUGAGAUCU
RNAcentral lists this long non-coding RNA (68028 nucleotides) under Vitis vinifera (wine grape). Its description in RNAcentral is "long non-coding RNA (VVIN_LNC001392)". Lineage: Eukaryota; Viridiplantae; Streptophyta; Magnoliopsida; Vitales; Vitaceae. The record is from RNAcentral.